Molecule: long non-coding RNA, 54638 nt
Filed under: Coffea arabica (coffee)
Lineage: Eukaryota; Viridiplantae; Streptophyta; Magnoliopsida; Gentianales; Rubiaceae
Description: long non-coding RNA (CARA_LNC006715)
Source: RNAcentral
UUUUUUUUUUUUUUUUUUUUGGUUUUUAACAAACUUCUUGUGAAACGAAAUAAUAGAAAUGGAGGCUGUUAUGGUUUUCCUCAAAACUUGAGGUGGCAUAAUUAUGCAAGUUAUACCAUAGUCAAUGUUUUAAAACCCGGACCGUCAAUUGAACCGGUGAAGUGAAAAGGUCGAGAUUCAACCGGUCGGACCGGUUCAACCUCGGUUCAAUGAAUUUUUUAAAAAAUAAUUAAUAUAAAUAUAUAUAUGCACAAAAUAAGACAUGCAAUAGACUAAUUUAAAACUUUAUAUGAUGAAAAGUUUACUAUUUUUGAAUAACUUGGAUUUUCAAAAAUAAAUUUUUUAAAUUAUAAGUUAAAACAAAUAAAUUUCAUUUCAAUUUCAAUUAUAUCUACCAAAAUAAUCUUAAAUCUAUCCCAAAAAUAUCACAAUAUUUUGAAAUUAUACAAAAUUCACGUCUAUGAGGAUUUGACAUUGUAAACUUAAAUUUUAAAUUUAUGCCUCUGGGAUUUAGAGAUUGCAAUUUAAAAAAGAAAGUUUGGAGUUCGAAGGAAGUCAAGAGAAUCGAAAAUAGAAAUGCAAACUUGAUAAGAAACAAAAAAUGAGAUAAAAGUGAGUGGUUGUAGCAUUAAAUAAUUUGGGUUAAAAAAUAAUUCUUUUUUAACUUUUUUCAAAUUUGUGUUUUCAAUUCGGCCAUUUGACUUUCUCACUCAGUCCAUAUUCAUUGGAAAGAAAAAAAUUCUCCAUAUUCACAUUUUUUGUCCACUAGAAAAUUGUUAUUAGCGCCCAAUUAUUUAUCAAUGUUCCCUUAUUUAAUAUUUGUUUACCAGUCAGUUAGGUAACAAUAUCCUUAUUCAAUGUUACUACCUACGAUAUUGUUUUGAGAUUGUAAUUGAAAUUAAAAUUUUUAAGUAUUUUGUUUAUUCACACAAAUUUAAAAAAAAAUCAAGGAGUCAUGAUGUAAAGUACGAAUGUGUACAAUGUAAUUAUAAAUAUUUUUUAAAAUAAUAAUUACUUAUCAAUUUUUUUCCUAAAUACUUGUCUACAAUGUCAAUUGAGCAAGAAUAUCCCUACUCAAUCUUUCUAUCUAUUAUUGCAUUUCAACCAUUAUUUUAUUGUGAGAUUGUAACUGAAAUUAAAAGUCUAAGUAUUUUUAUUUAUUUUCACAAAUUAAAAAAUCAAGGGGAUUACAUUAAUAAUCAAGGGGAGUACAUUAACAAACAUAGAUAUGCCAACAAUAUAUUUGUGAUGUAAAGCACAAGUGUUUUUGAUGUAAUUAAAAUUUUUGAAAACAAUAACUUAUCUAAACAAUUCAAUUUAGUUACCAAAUUAGAUUGUCAUUUUUUUAAUUUUUUAUUUUUUCACAAAUUUAUUUCUUGAUUAUUUUUAUUCUACACAUAUUAAAUCGUUGUCGUACAUUUUCUACAAAAAUUUAAAAAAUAAUUUGAAAAAGCUAUUUUAUUAAAGGAUUUUUUUAACGGUUGUCCUAACACAUUUAAUACACCUAAUUUAUUAUAUAUAUACAUAUACUAACAAUUAUUACUAUCUUUGCAUUUAUAUAUGUUUUAUAUACAAAGAAAUAAGUUUGAUGUAUCUUAGGUUUAGGGUGUUUUUAGUUUUUCAUUUAAUAAGUUAAGUAGAUAUUUGCACAAAAUAAUCAUGUCCGCUGCCUAUGGCUCAGGGGUAAGGGCUUCUUAUAACAAACACAAGGUUUGGUGUUCGACUCUUGGCAGCUACAAUUUGGAAUUUCAUUUUGAAAGGUUUGGCGUUCACGGUCUAAGCGGGUUUUUCCGGUUCGUCCGAGUUAUCCGGUGGCAGCUACAAUUUGGAAUUUCAUUUUGAAAAGUUUCAAAAACCGCCGGUUCACGGUCUAAGCGGGUUUUUCCGGUUCGUCCGAGUUAUCCGGUUUCCAGCGGUUCUUGACUACUCUCCGGGUUUAGCUCUAGACCGGACCGUUGGCCUGUCCGGUUCGCGGUCCAACCGGUUGAACCGGCCGGUCCGGUCCGGUUCUGAAAACACUGACCAUAGUGAGACAGCAAAUGUGGAAGUUCCCAUAGUGGGGCUAUAUGGUUUGUUUAUACAAUUAUACUACUAAUUUGAUGCAGAAACAGACACACAAGAGCAAGUCAUCCAUUGAAAAAAUGGGGUAAACUUGCCUAAUUAACAAGAAAGAGGGCACAAUUUAAAGUUAAUUGUUUUGAAGUACAUUUACACAAAGGAAAAUGUUGAAACAUAUCCUCAAACAUGUCCAAAUUUGUCUUGCUGCCCAAAAGAACUCUAAAAAACUACAAACCUCUCCCUCGGGGAAUCUUUCUUUUGGAAACUCAAAUUAUUAGGAUCACGAGUGUACCAGUGAAUCGAAUGGUAGAAAUUCCAUCACUGGUAUCCGUGGGAAAUAAGAUCCAUGGAGCCACAGUCCCGAAUACAUAGAUGUGGAGGUUUCUCAAGGUUUUUGAGUUUUGCCAUGUGCAAAUAACCAGUCAGUUACCAGGUUCAAACCGUGUAUUGGAGAAGUUUCAUGCAUCAUCACUUCCGCAUGAACUUGAAGUAACAUCUGUAUUUGUUCCAAAAAUCGUUGUUCAUACAUUUAUGAACUUGAAGAAUGAAAUUGACCUGCUUUGUGCUAAUGAAGCAUUUGCUUACAAGGCAAAAUCUCCAGUGAAAAGCACAGGUAGACAGCUGCUUAUAGCUGGUGCUCAUCAGUUGCAUUUUCAGAAUGCUGAACUAGCAAGAAUUUGAUAUUUUAAUAUACUCUUCAGCCAUAGAUUAUUGCAAGUCAAGGAGGUUGAUUUUAUGAAAUAAGAACAAGAUUCAUGAACGUUCCACUCUUGGAGAGAUUACAAUGGGACUCGUGACAACGUGAUUGCCAUCAUCUUCUAUCCAUGUUACUGAACCAGAAGAUACAAUUUGAUUCUCAUUGCCAUAAUAACUAAUGGUCAAAGAGUAACUCUGCUUCUCAUACUUCUUUCCAAAUUUAAUUGUUUUCGGCGAAAUUGUGACUGCAGAACCUUUUGGUGCCGUCACCUUUGCUGUGUAUGUUGCCGCACCAUUCCCAACGUUCGUGAGAGUCCUACGAAAUUUCUUAACCAACUUGCUUUUUGCUUGAUCCGAAGUCUCGUACAGAGCAACAAAUGAUGGGUAGUUCAGAUCGGAUGAAGGGUUUGAGCAAUUAUAACUAGUUGAUCUUGUUAUUGCUAGAGUCUGCAUCCGAGUGAAAUUCAUUGAGCAGAUGAAGUUGAUGUAGUCUUGUGGAGUAGCAUCGUAUAUAAGACCUGGAUCCAGUGCACGAUUUGGAUCGACAUGUCCUGCUCCAAUUGCUAAUGGUGUAGCGACUUCAUUAUCUCGGCCUGUGUCUUUGAUGGGGCUUCGAGUAUUAUCCAGCGUAGUAGCUGUGGUCAUCAUUGCAGACCGAACAGCAGCUGGACUCCAUUCAGGAUGUGCACCUUUCAGGAGUGCAGCGAUUCCAGAAGCGUGAGGGCAAGACAUUGAUGUCCCUGAAAUGGCAGUGAAAUCGGUGGACAAGAGUAUGCUGGAACCAAUACUAGCUUCAAAACUAUCAGGAUAAUAGGCUGCUAAGAUUAGGACUCCUGGUGCCAUGAUAUCUGGUUUCAAGAUACCAGGAAAGCCUUGCGAAGGACCCCUCGAGGAGGAAGCAGAAACAACUGGUGCUGGCUUUGUACCCACGAAAGUCUGCUGGAACUUGAUAGUUGCGGUAGGAGAACUGCCCUUUGAAGCGUACCUGAUUACCUUUGCUGCAUCCUGGCGGCUAAUUACAACACCAGGAUGAGGAAAAAAAUUGGACCUAAAUAUCGCAGGCUCCUCAGAAACAAAAAUACCUGCUCGGGCAUUAGCCUCAUAAACAUGGCGAAUUUGUUCUCUGAAUGGCACAGUUUCAUCACAGAUAACAACACUUCUACCUAUGUCAGUUACAGUUAACAGUGACUCAGUUGAAUCACAAGCAGAUAUGGUUUGAUUGUAUAUGAUAGGCAGGUCUUUAACCAGGGCUCUUGCGGGGAACAUGGACCAUCCAAUGAUGGUUAAUCCAUUUCCUAGAACCAAACUCCCGGAAAAUUUACGGUCCACAGAACCUGCAGCAACUGUCAAAGCCCAGGGAAUAUCAUUGUGGACAGUACCAAGAUCUGGACCUCUAUUUCCAGCCGAAGUGGAGACGAAUAUUCCCUUCUCCAUGGCACCAAAAGAAGCUAUUGAAAUAGGUUCUUCAUAGGGAGGAGUAAAAUCAAAACCCAAGGAAAUUGAGAUCACAUCAACACCAUCAGCUACAGCCUGAUCGAUGCCUGCUAGAACAUCAGCUUCAUAAGAUCCUUCAUCCCAGAGAACUUUAUAAGCUGCCAGCCUGGCACGAGGCGCAAUACCUCUUGCUGUGCCUGAACCAUAGCCAAAGAAUGAUACUCCUUCAACAUAAUUUCCAGCAGCGGUGCCUGCAACAUGUGUUCCAUGGCCUGAAGUAGUUCUAGCUGAAUUCAUACUGAGAUUCAAGUUGGGAUUUGCUGCUAAAACAGCCUUGUUGAAAUACUUGGCUCCAAUCAGUUUCAAGUUGCACAAUGAAGAAUUGAAUUCUUGACCUUCCUGACAUGAUCCUUUCCACCUUGGAGGAAUUGGUGUCAUCCCAUCAUCUUUGAAGCUCGGAUUUUCAGGCCAUAUGCCAUCAUCAACAACACCGAUGAUCACAUCUUUGCCAUAAUCAGAAGCAGGCCAGAGUCCUGUUGCUGUAUUGAGCGAGAGGAAAUCAGGAGUGUGAGUGGUGUCAAUUGUAGGUGAUCUAUCAGGAUGAGCUGACACAAAGCCAGGCGACUUCUUUAGAGCUUGUAAAUGGUCUUUAGACAUCAAGGCACUGAAACCGUGAAAUGCAGCAUCAUAAGUGUAGAGAAUUUUUGGUGCAAAACCAUGAUCGGAUGUCUGCCCAACAUUUCCAAUGGAAUCAAUCAUGGAGGUGUACCAGUAAAUGUGACUGGCAAAAACCUUAGGCAUUAAGGACUUGUCAAUGUGGACGAUGUAAAUGGAUCUUUCUGCUAAGGCACCAAGAAUAUGACUAGAAGAAAGAAACCAAACAAGGAACAGAAAGGAUACUGUUUCAGUCAGCCCCAUGGUUAACUAUUACUCUAACCUAAAACACCACAAAACUGUAUAUAUUUCUUGCUAUAUAUUCACGGAGAAGAAGCUAGAAUAGGUGGAAAUUUGAAAAAAAAAAAAAAAAAAUACGGGCUGAGAAGUUCUACAAGGAUAUGGCCUACAAUGGACUAGUUCCACACUCCAUAGCAAUAAAAUUCAAGGUAGUGAUGACACAGAAGCUUAGGCAGAUCAUGAUUGACAGUUCCAUCGAUUACUUUCACUCUAGAAAAAAGUUUUAUAGUCUCUUGACCGAGGCAAACGCCUUGUUCAUCUUUGCUUAAUGUGAUAUCAAUUAUUGCAAUCAUUGCCAACUUGCAAGGAUCCUUUUCUUUCUUUUUUUUUUUUUUUUAAUGAACUGGAAAUCAGAAAAACAUUAGGAUUCCCAAAAAAUUAAGAAGCAUAUGUUUAUGUUAAGUAAUGAACAGAGGUAUAAAUAACAGAUUUGAUGGACUUCUUGUGCGUCUGGACUAUAAUAUGCUCCAAUUAUUCUAAUUGUUAAUUUUUUUUUCCCAAUUUUUUGGUUGACUAACAUUGUUCAAUCCAACAAGCAAAGCUAUUGAUCUAGAGGAUGAUAAUGAAAACAGCAAUCCUUGAUUGAUUAUGCUAGGAAAUGUCUUGCGAAUUUAUGACAAUCCAGAAAGCCAUAAAAGUGGAUGAGCCAUAAAGGAGGUCGGAUUUAAUUUGAAACCGUGUUGCGACAAUGUGGACAAGAUAAGAUAAAGACUAAACUUCAAAGCGGAUAGCUCCUACUGUGCCUCUCAUGGACAGCUCGAUUGGUCACAGCACGUCUCCUAAGGAGCUGUUGUCUAGUGUCCGCCAGAAUUCGAGUCUCAUGAUUAUCGUGUUCGGAGGGAUGGGGCCUCUUCUCUCGGACCGGUGGGGGAUUAGUUGGGUCCGAUUUACCCGAUGGCCCGGAUACCCCCUCUGUGAAAAAAAAAAAAAAAAAAGAUAGCUUCUACUACCUACCACAUGCCUAAUUCUUUGCCUUAAAGAUUUAGUAAUCAAAGGUUCCAAAGAGGAAAAUGCAAGGCACAAGGUCCCAUUUGCUUCAUCUUUCUUUCUUCUUCCUCCCAAAUAGGGGUGGCAAUCGGGUCCAAAUCAGGUUGGCGGGUUGGAUCCUGACCCGACUCGUCAGAAAAUCUGUUGACCCGAACUCGACCCGUCAAUCCGUGACGGGUCAGGUAUACUGACCCGAACUCGAAAAUUUCGGAUUGACGGGUUGAUGGGUCGAUCCGAAAUAACCUGAAACUUAAUUUUAAUUUAUUAAUUGAUGACUGUAAUUUCUAAUAAAAUCAAUUUCUCACAAAACUAAUUACAUAGUAAUAAAAUUUUAAAUAAAUAAUUCCAAACCAAAUCUAAAAUAAAUUAAACACCGUAAAAGUGUUUUAUCCCAAAUAAAAAAUAAAUUAAAUUAAAACAGUAUAAAAGCAAAAAAUAAUAUUUGUCCAAAUAUAAUAAUUUCAACUUCACACAAAUUAAAUAAAUUCAUUUAGGAUUAAGUAAUUAAUGCCUUUGAAAAAAAAAGAAUAACUUAGUUUAGUUAGAUAAAAUUAUUUUUAUGUUUAUUAAAUUAUUUUUAAUUCGUAAAAGGGUCAUAUCAGGUCACCACGGGUUAACCUGAAAUCGACCUGUUUUCUUUUCGGGUUCAUCGAAUUCAACCCGAUUCUGACCCGAACUCCCGAAAUCUCAAUCCAAACUCAUUAAUUUCGUGUUAAAUUCGUAUCGUGUUUUCAGGUCGUGUCGAAAAUUACCAACCCUACUCCCAAACAUCAUGGAAAAAGGCUACAACUUUCUUAAAAAUUCCUCUUGCGUCAUGCCACCAUCUGAUGCAUUGAGACAACGUCAUGCCAAAAGUGUAUAAUUCAGCUCAAAAUUUUCCAUGAUGUAACAUAAACUAGUACCUUCUUCUUCUCUUAUUAUUUUUAUUUUUUAAAUUUUUGUUACUUCACAAACGAGCUUUAUUGGGUUUUUUUUUUUUAAAAUUUGCACUUGUUGGGUAUACAAUAAUUGUAUAGUUUGAAAAUUUUCACGCUACCAUAUAUGAAUCAAAUGAGGUUAAAGUUUAUAACUUGUGUAGGUACAAUCGCAAAGUACAAUUGACGUGUAGAAUCGCCAAAUGAAAUCAGCUGAAUUUGAAUCUUCUAUAUCAAGAAUGGUAAGUUGUACAUAUUAGUGUCUCACAACCAUUGGCUGACACUACAAAAUUGAUAACAUCACCAACAAAAUCUAACAGUUUUCUUUGUAGGAUAGAGUUUAUGAGGUUUUUCUUGAAAAAAAAAAUUACAAAUUGACUAAUCAAAGAGAUUUUGGGGUGCUUGUUUCACAUAUUGGAAUCGGAAAUGAAAAUGGAAUUAUAGACUCUGGUUUUGGAAUUAAACUUUUCAUUUCAAUAUCUAACUUGGUUCACACAUUGGAAUUAGUAUCAUUCCAAUUUCUGAUGCAUGGUUUGAUGAGUGUUUCGGAAUUAAAUGCAAUUAAAUUUCAAAUUUACCCAUGAUAUAACAAUUCUUAUAAAACAAAGGGAUAAUUGCAGAAACUAGUAGGUUUUGUAUUUACAAAAAUAUGAGAUUUUGUAGAUUUUAAAGUUUAAGGAAGGGAUAUUUGAAGUUUAACGACUGUUAUACAACUUUCAAAACAAACAAAUUCAUUCUAAAUUUUUUUUUUGGAUAAUUUUAUAAACCAAAUCGCAGUCACUUUCACAAAAGUCAUAUUUUCCCAUAAAAGACCAACUCUUUAUGACUUUCCUCUAUUAUAAAAACAGAGUACUUAUUUUCCCAUAAAUAAAUUUAUUUAUAGGAUAAAAUAAAAAUAAACCCGUUUUUUAAUAAAACACUAGUUCUUUAUGACUUUCCUCCAUUAUAAGAACAGAGUACCCAUUUUUCCAUAAACAAAUUUAUUUAUCGGAUAAAAUAAAAAUAAACCCGUUCUCCAAUAAAACACCAGUUCUUUAUGACUUUAAAAUGAAGGGUUACAAUGUCGCUGUCUCUAUCACCAUCAACUUUUGACUCCCUACUUCUUCCAUCCCACCCAACACCAGAACGAAAUACUAUUAUUUUCAGCAUCUUCAAUAGAAGUAAAAAAACAGUCUGAUAUUCUCAUACCCAUUGCAUAGCCUAUUCGUGAAGAUGACAAAGUUUCUCAAGAAUCGUAAAUUCACUUCAAGGGCUGAGAUUAGUUCCUUCAAAGACAAAAUCAAAUUGUCUUCAAAUUUAAGCAGAUCCUUCAGAUUUACCAGAACACAAUCAAAAAAUUCCACCAGAAUUUCACCACUCAUGGCAUUGUUUGGUUCUAAGGAAUGUUUUGCCCAAUCAAUAAAAUCUUCUCCAAUUUCCACCUUGGAAGCUUCAACCUUUUCAAACAAAUCAUCUACUACAUGGUCUAAUUUCUCGUUUAGGCUCUCAGAUCUUGGAAAGCUAUUGCUACUAUUUGUAAACCUGAACUUGAGACUUUGAAAUGAGAAAGAACAUGUCCGAUGAAGGUGAUGGGCGGCGAUUGAUUGAAGAUGAAGAGAUAGGAAAACUGAUGAAGAAAAAGACUCUGAUUUUGUGCGGUGUGUGAUGGAGAGAAAGAUAGGGUAGAUCCAUUAUAAAUAUUGUCUGAGGGAAUGAGUUGAGGAUUUUGUCCAAAACCUCCCAAUUUGCUCGGGAAUGAUUUUUUAGAAAUGAUUCAAAAAAUGACAUUCGAAUAGGCUUAUCCCAAGCAACAAAUAAGGGUUUAUUCCAUUCUGUUAUUCCCAAACCCUUUAACCAAGCAGCCUAAAGGUAGUUGGACUGACAAAGAGACUCAUGUUGGUAUGAAUUGGACUGACAAAAAACCCUUAAAGGUAGUUGCGAUCUGGAAGCGGCAUUAAAGCAAGUAUGAGAAGAUUUCCAGGGUCAAGAAUAGUACGGACUGACCUUGGCCCGAUAAGAAGAAGCAAGCCCAUUAAGAGCAGGUCCAAUCUGUACAGAGACGUUUCAAGGGCCCGACGGACUGCUGACUGCCCAUGUGCGUUCGUAUUACGUGUUAACUCUCUUCGUGUUGAGGGACCAAAUUUUCUGGACGACAAAAAAGUUGUUGUACGGUUGGACACUUGUACUACUACUCUUCCCAUGAAAUGUAUAUAUUAACAUUAUAGUUUUUCUUUCUUUUUUUUUUUUUCUCUCUAAAGAGAGAACAAUGAUACAUAAUUGUUGAAAUUUAAUUUUACUCCAAGAAGAUAUUUAAAAGGAUUGCUAUGAAAGGUCCAAAUUUACUUUAGAUUGUGAGAUCUUUUCUAACAGAUUUUACAUGCAAGCAAUUUUUUUGCUUGUUUUUGAAAUUAAUUUUCCUCCAAAACUUUAAUGUGGCAUUAUUGUUGAUGGAGAUGAAAACUUUAUGGGGAUUGUUCAUGACAUACAUGGCAAAAACUCUGUGGUAACCAAUUUCUCAGGAAAAAAAAAUCAGCAGAGUCUGUCUAGCUGCCCCUGAACAGGCAACAACCUCUGGGAAUCUUUCUUCUGGGAAACUCAUUUAUUUAAGCAGUCAAAAAAUGAUUGGAGACAUAUCUGUGAAGCAUGUGAAUGGUAGGACCGACAUCAUUCAUUCCUCCCAAGCAAAUUCUCAACAUAAGUUUGGGAGUAGUAAAUUGCUUGCCCUUUUGACUAAUGAACAAUUAAGGAACUGGUGUCCCUGAAAUCGUAGAUCAAAGAUGCAUUUGAACAAAUUCCAUUCACAAGCUGACAUUUAUGGGCCGAAGAAGCCUCUUUUUUUUUUUAAGUAUCCAUCCUCCUAUGUCUAAAACAAACAUAGGUAAUCUCUUGUCGGUGACAUUUAGGCUUGGCUUGUCCAAAGAAAACUGACUUUCUUUUGGACCAAAUCUACCCAUCAUCCAGUCUCAGCAGCCAAUGACAAUGAAAGGGACUUGACUCCACCUGCCAGCACAUGAUUCAGGUUUUGUUUGCAGGAAUUUGAUUCUUCAUGCUGUAAAGAAUUUCAGCACCGUCCAGUCCACAGAGUUUUAUUUUCAUUACUAGGGUGAGCCGACAAAAGGUUAGAUGACAACAAAAUGUUAGUAAAACUGAAUUCAAACUGAUGAUCAAGCCACCGACAAUAAAGAAAAAAUGCCACUGCACAACAACAUUCACAUAGAUGUACACUUGGAACUCAAGUUCUUGCUAUAAUUUCACGUCAGCUGCUUCUUCAAGAAACAGACAAUCACACGGCAUAACAAAAUUACCAAGCCAUUCCCUCUUUCAAUAUAAUAUAAGAAAGUCAUUUACGAGUGGGAAGAGACAAAAUUGAACGCCCGACUGAAUCAUCAAAAUGUGUAGCGUGAUAUGGCUCUCAUACUUAACGUACAAGGCUUAUCAUUGUAUGUAACCAAGACUGCUCAGGUGAAGGAAUGGUGUACAAAUAUAUAUACAAAGGACAAUCUAGAGAUGAAAGUUUAAUGGAAACUACAACCUGAUUAACUAAAUCAACCUCGCAACGGCUACUGCUCUUCAUCCGUUUCUUGCUUCCUCAAUAGCAUCCUGUUCGUUUGGACGCUACUUUCAUAUCCGCUACUGUCCCCUGAUUCAAUCAUGCGUUUUUCCAUCAUCCUCUCUUUCAGGCUGUCACGAUUUGUACGUGCAUGUUCUUUUCCAGCCCUACGUUCCUGAAAUAGCUCAAAAGAAAAGUUAAAAAAUCAGAUAACUGAUUGGUAACAGGACAUGGAUCGUAGAACAAAGAGGGAACAUCGCAAUUUCAAACAGGAAAAUUUACAUGAACUAGUUACCCGGCCAAAAUAUAAAAUGGUGCAGUGUAAAUUUAACUAGUAUAACUACCACCAACUACUGUGAUAAAUUUCAAAAUGGUUUGGUCGCCAGAACAAUAUCUGAUGGCCACAUAUCCAAUGCUAGUAAGAUAUUCCUACAUACGUAUUAUUCACGUGUCCAUGUAAUAAUGAAGUGUAAAGUUUACAAUCCACCCGCUCAUAGCAUGGCAUGACAUAUAAGCACGUAAAAGGCUAAAUGUGUAAUCUCUGUCAUAUAGAUUGUAGUAGUGAAAUAUGUUGCAAUUGAAACCACAAUCCUACUGCAAAGGAAGAGACAAAUGCAUACAGAAGUAAUAUCAGAACAGGUUGCACAGGUAAUUUUGCAUGCCAUGCUUCCCCCCGCAUCAUGAUCCAUUUUUACCUUGGACAUUUAAAUAAAAUUUUAGGCAGAUAAAUGUAAACUUACAUCUCGAAAGGGGAAAUCAUCAGCCUCUAACAUGUGUAUCACAUGCCCCAUCUUGGGCCUCUUCUGAGAAUUUGGGUCAACGCAACGCAAACCUACCAAAAGAGCACGUUUCAACGCUCUUGAGGAAGGCUGCUCGGGUAACUUGGGAUCCAAAACUCCCUCUGCAUUACGGUUGGAAACCAUAGUUUUCAGCCAAUCAACCAGGUUCACCUGCAAGAUUGAAGUGUAAACCAAAAACAAGAUCCAAUGAUCUUUUACAUCUGCCUCGCAAUAUCAUUGACCUUUGAUGAUAAUAAUUAGGUACUAACCUCCCCUUGAGGACGGCUGUAAUCCACUGGGCUCCGCCCUGUAAUGAUCUCCAUGAGAAGAAUACCAAAACUAUAAACAUCACUUCUUUCGUUCAACAUGCCAGUACUAGCAUAUUCUGGAGCAACAUAACUACAACAGAACAAGAAGUUUGUCAAUUUGUUCACUUGGUCAAGAAUUGGCAUUGAUAAAACAACUCAAAGUUGGAGAUUCUACUGACCCAAAUGUUCCCAUAACACGAGUCGUUAUGUAACUCCUCUCAGACCCCAAAAGCUUCGCUAAGCCAAAAUCUGAUACCUUUGCGUUCCAUUGCUUAUCAAGCAGAAUGUUGCUGGACUUGAUAUCGCGGUGUACAACUUUGGGUUCAAGUCCUUCAUGCAGAUAGGUCAGCCUGUAAGCUUCAUCUGCUUAGAUGGGUGACUUAACAUAAUUUGAAGAGCAAGUUUAAAUGGCAGAAAGAAUAGUAGCAGACGUACCCUUUUGCUGUUCCAAGUAUGAUGUUCAUUCGAAUUUCCCAUGUAAGAGGACUGUAAGGUCCUACAUCUCCAUGAAGCCACUGUUCCAAGUUCCCAUUGUCCACGUAUUCAUAUACCAGCAUUCUGAAUUGUAAUUCAAUUACAUCAAAACCAUACACCCAAACAAAAAAAAGCAUAAAUUUAGAAAUAACAAAAUCAGGGUCCUCAAAUUGUUAGAUAUGAAGAAUUUAUAAACUUUCAUGGAAAUUGACAAAGCACAUCACUUUGAAAAAAGCAGGUUCAAUCUCAAGGUCUCCAAGUACAGAAGAAGAAAUUUAAUUACCGGAAACCCUUCCCCCAUCCUUUAACAUAUAGAAUAGAAUGUAACGGAAUAGUUUAAGAGGAGAAACACUGGGGUUAAAAUUACCUAUGAGCUCCUUCAACGCAAUAACCAAGCAACCUAACCAAAUUCUUAUGCCGAACUCGCCCAAUUGCCUCAACUUCAACCUUGAAUUCCCUCUCCGCUUGUCCUCUGAAAACAAAUAUAAUAUGCCCAUUUAAGCACACACAAGGCAGAAAAGGAAAACCAGCUAUUUCCCAAAGCAAAUUAAUAUCUCUUACCGACCUCCAAAUUUGCUCCUGACUGUGAAAUUCAUAUUUGAUCAAACAAAUAUCAAGAACCCAACGGAAAAAAUUAGGUUCACUUCACACAUCACAUAAUUGCCCGCAAGAACAAGGCACAAAUGAAGGUCCAGUAAUCAAAUAAAGCAAGACAUGCAGAUAUCUUACAUUGCAUGGUUCACAUGCAAUCAUUUAUAACAUGCAAUGUCAGUAUUCAUCUUAUCCUAUAACACAAAAAGAUCGAAACUUCAACCAACUGACCUGUUGUUAAGCAAAUUCUUGACAGCCACUUUAGUAUUAUCUUCCAAAACACCUUUAUAAACAAUCCCAUACCCUCCUUCCCCAAUCACAUUCUCAUCAGCAAAUCCAUUGGUUGACUCUUCAAGCUCCCUCAGAGUAUACCAAUGGCCCCAACCCAAAUGGGAUACCUCGGGCACAGCUAUACCCACUUGAUCACCCGAACGGGCCUCCCCACUCCCUUGACCCGACCCGCCACUCCCUGGUCCGACCGUCUCCGGAUAUGCAAUUCUGUGUCCUUUUCCAAUUUCCACAUGAAUUCUCCGAUGCCCAUUUGCGUUCUCAUCCUCCACCACAUGAUCGGGCUCGGGCAACAACGGGUCAGGACCUGGAGCAGGAAGGAGGAGCAGCUUGGUGUCCUGUUCGGGCCGGGGCCUAUUCGGGUCGAUCCGGAUUUCUUGAAUUUCUUUGGACACGUUUGGAAUGGUGGGAUUCUUCUGGGAUGCAAGCCUAGACUUCUUGCUGUGUCUCCUGGAAGUAAACCAGAUGGAGAUAAUGAACAAAAAGAGCACAAUUGCAGCUCCUACACAUACUCCCAGCACAACCCAUAACCGUAACCCGAAUAUUGAGGUCCGUUUUGAUAGCUCAUCGUUCAAAAAUGCUGCCCUGUUAGUAGUAUUAAUUUUGUUAUCAGACAUCUCUGCCUCUACUUCUCUCAAAACCCAGCUCAGAACAUCAGAUUUAUUGCAAGUUAAGAUGGUGAAGAUGACUGAGGAGCAUAAUUGUAUGGGUGUUUUAAUGAAUGGAAGCGGGAUGAUGAUGAAGAGGUGGGGACUGUGGGAGAGUGGAGGGGAGUAGAGUAGAGACAGAAGAAGAGAGAAAGCAGAAAAGGGGGGCAGCUGUACUGAUGGGACCGCUGGGAAUGAUGGAAACUUGAAAGCCCACUUGUUUUGUUUAAUCUUGUGUAUAAUGCUUUCAAUUUUUUGUACUUGUGCCAAAUCCAUUAAUGCCGUGUUAAAUGUGGUGCAGACACUGUAGUCCAAGGUUAAGAUUUUGGUGUUUGUGAUGAUCGUUUCGUUUGGACUUUCGAUUGCUGCGUAAUGUGCAGUGAUAGAUUCCCACAAUUAUCUGAAGAAUCCGGCUGGUUGGUCAUUGGUGGUAGCAUAUACUAACAUUUAAUUCUUUAUCUUUUCCCUUUUUUCUUUUGUUGCUUGAGGAGGGUUUUUUUUUUCAUUUUUCGAAUAAAAAAAAAUGUGGUAAGAGUACUUUUUACAUUAACGUAUAGGUUAGUUGUUAAGAAUCAAUUAUACUCAAAUGUUUUUUCGCUUGUCUUGUUUUCAAAUCUAGUUCCUCUACUUUUUUUUUUUUUUUAAAAAACAAGAGAUUACAGUAGUCUGUUUAAGUGCAAUUGAAGUAGCUACUGCUAUGCGUAUGAAGUAUGUAUCGCCUAUUCUAAAAGACUACCAAAAAAAAAAUCACAAAGGCUUGAUGAUGCAAACCAACCUUUGAUUCAUGUCUUUAAAAGGGUUUUUUUGGACGUUUCAUUUUCAUAUAUUUUCCAUUUUCUGAUACGGUGCCUCUCAUUUACUACUAAUUAAUGAUGUGGAAUUCAAUAGCAUGGAAAGGGAAAGGGUGAUCAAACUCAAAAGGAUUUUGGUGGGGACCGGGCAUUAGUUUAAUUGGCUUUUAAAACUCUUGUGGUUUUUGGUAGUAUUAUUGCCAAGGGAGAUGCCUCUCCGGUCAAUGUCGUGGACCUUCUGAUGGCUUUGUCGAAAGCUUUUUCCUGCCUCUGUCUUAAUUCAUAUUUAGAGAUAGAAGAUAGACCCAACCCAUAUGAACAGAGGAAACUCAGAGUGCAACAGAAACAGCAUAAGGGAAAAGAAGAUGAAGAAGGUUUGUGAGGAUAUCGACAUUGACCCUAAAAACAGCUAUAUACACAGAGUUUUUAUGGUCAGUGAGUGAUGAAAUCAGGUUGGCUUAGUUAAGCUUUAUAGAUGUUCACAUUUGAGAAUUCUCCAGAUCGUUUGUUGCCUUGAUCACAUGGUGAAAGCUAAGCCUAAAAUUCCGCCUGGCAUUCAUUGAGUGGGAGAAUUCAGAUUGUUGGCCACCGACCUAACGCAAUUCUAAAAUUAUCCUUUUAUUUAUGUACCACCAACUACUAGUAGUGGACUCGUAAUUGCAUUUAUGUGGAGGGGAGGGAUAACGCGGUUUUCAAAAGAAAGUAAAUGAAAGAUUACAGUACAGGCUGCUCCUCCUGCUGUUGCCAAUUAUACUUUUGCAUAAUUUUUUCUACCAAAGUGUACACAACUCGGAAAAAAUGAACGGUAAUUUUUAGAAUCUUUUGUUAUAGCAAGCCUGCUCUGUUUUUUCCUGUGUAGACCCAGCCUCUUCGGCUGCUUUAUCUAGAUUGCCCAACUAAUCAUAUUCUGACGUAACCCGAAGAGAAGAUCAAGCGGCGCUAUUUUCAAGUCAUAAUCAUUGCUUAACCAUCUUGAUUUUUUCCUCAACAUCAUUAAGGGAGUUAGGUUCUUCCACUGAACAACAAAAGCAAGUAUUUUGUCAUUGACAGCGCACUUUCCAAGUGCAAGAUGAAAAUAAAAACUAGUAGUAUUAAAAUGGCUCGAAGAAUUCACUUACAAGGAUUUUCCCUAACAAUACAAGUGAAUGUAAUAUUGGAGGGGUUGAAUACUCGUAUCAGGGAAAAGAACAGUCACUAUGUUAAUGUGCGUUUUCAGCAGAAUUAGAUAUUUAACAGUUUAAGUAUACUCGGAAUGUUCAUUUCUAAUUUCUGAGAUGUUCUUCAAAUAAUUAAAAUUUCCUGUAAUUGCCACCAAGCUGAUUACUUGCACACCAUUUAUUCUCGUGGCUACGAAGACACACCUGACGACGAAUUGUUCCCAGAGCGGCUAAUAUCUAAUGGAAACUGCAUCAAAGUAUCCUCCCGGCAGAGAUCCUAAACAUUUGGGGGAAGCUGAUAUCAAUUAUAUAUUGCAUCACACUACAGUGUAUCAAAAUAUUCAGAUAAACAUACCUUUGCAGAUGCCAAAUAAUUGGGAACACCAGGGUUAUUCUGAGCUGAUGAUUGCAAUCCAAAUGAGAAUGCUGAGCUGCUAUUAUUUGUCAUUGAAGCUAUAGCAAGUUGCUGGCUUGAGAUUUUAGGAUUGGAAACCCCAAAUGCUGCUUGCAUUGCAACCUCUUGGUUGCUAGACAAUGUAUGUUUUCCUCCACUUGUAUUUGGCAUCACAUCACCCUCAUUAAAAUCCAUGGGAAGCUGCAUUGGUUGUAGGGAUCCCGAUACAUAGUUUGGAUGGAAACUGAGUCCAUUUCUUAUUGUCAACAUCUGGAAAGCCAAGCCAAGUAAAAACUAUAAGUAGCAGCAGUAACAUGCAUUGCUACCAAAUGACACCCUUCUCUGCGAUACAGAAGAAAAGAUUGCAAAGUUUCCAUGAAAGAAAGCAAAAUCCAUCUGCAAGUAGCCAUGAACAAAAAGCUGAAGUCUACCAAUCUUGCAUACUGCAUUGGUGCAUUCCCAAGCAUAGAAUGAUGGCCUAGAAUAUUACCUCAUCCCCAUCUUUUAAGUACCUCUAGCCAUACGUUUUUUUUUUUUCCAUAUGUUCAACUCCAUAAGUCCACUUUAAAUGUUUCAAACUACUUCCACCUAUAAUGAUCUAUUGACAAAACAGGUAGCUACCAAAAGCAAAAUUUCAUUAGUAACAUGCCACCAGACAAAGAAGACCAUUUAAUAAGAACCUAUAUGAUAGUAACAAUUGACUAUGGCCUCAAAGUUCUUCCCAUGAACAAUAAUAUGUAUACUGGCUUACGAAGUUAGAUUGGUUUAUGUGUUCUUAAACUUGGAUAUUUUUGCUUGCUAGGAGUAGAGUUUAAAAACAAUAGCAUACGGUGUACAGAGAUAUCUCAAUUUCAUAGUCCAGAUUGACUGAACAUACAGGAAGUUCUGAAUAAAUCAUGUCAAGUUUAAGGGGAAAUUUUAUUCUUGUCAAAGCAUACUGACAUUCACAGCUCAAGUUUUGGUAUUAAAGAUGUAAUACCAUUAUUUAAUAUGUGUCAAAUACAAUCAAUACAUUUUUUCCAUUCCCCUUAUUAAGUGUGCAAAAGGCAUUUGCAUAUCGUCAUGCUUAAAUGUCAGAACUCACAUCAGGCUUUAACAUGAUGACAAUCAUCUGCCAGUACAACAAGAAAGUGGUAUCAUGUAACCAUGAAUUUAUAGUGGUGAUAUUUAAUUAAAGAGCAGCACCAAGACAAGUAAAAACCUGAACUUGUAGUUGAAGCUGUUUGAGGUAUUCAAUCGCUUCGUCCAGCAUUGAUGCCUUGUCUGUCUAUCAAACAAAUGAGCCAGAAACAUCAUGCUGAUCUAAGUCAAGAGCUAUGGCAAUGUUAUCUAAAGCUUAAGAAAAAGGAAUCAAUACAGUGCGAGGUAAUAGAUACUUUAUUCGAAUUUGGAAUUAAGUUCUGCAGCGCUUUCAAUUUCUCAUUUAUUCUGCUCCUCCUCCUCUGAGAAUGAAAUCAAAUCAGUUGAAAUGGCGAAAAGAUUGCACAUUUUUGCAACAAAAUUUUGAACUUUAAUUUAAAGCAGAACCUUUUCAGACAAAUUAUGAACUUCUGCUGAUCUACUCCUUUUCGUGGAACGCGGUUGAGCCUGGUUAAUUGCUGCAUCUGAAGCCUCCAAUCCCUACAAAGAUAAACAGACGUCAGCUACCACAAUAUUGGAAGUUCAUUUAAGUACCCCCUCACCAGCAGGGGGGGAAUUGAAAAAAUAAAAAAGGAACACAGAUUAAGAGACUAAUUUCCAUAAGAUUUCAGCAUCCACAGAUACUGAUCAGCUGGUAAAGGAGCAAAAAAAAUUUUUUUUUUUUAAAAAAAGGUGAAAUUAUCAAUUUCAGUAGCAGAAAUUCAAAUAUCGAAACUGAUAAUUCAGGAAUUCAACACUAAUUUAAUCUAAACAAAUGAAAGGAAAAAAAAAAAAAAAAAAAGCAAACUUUCAUGAAAAAAAUGUCAAAUUUGUACGAUUCUGCUAAAAAAAAGCUCAAAUCACACUGAUAAUGACAUGCAAAUUUAACGUCGAAAUCAAGAAAAAGCAAAUGUUUCAAUCCUAACCUUGUUUGCACCGGAAAAUUCUCCCCUAUCCAUCGAAGAAGUGACAGCAUCACAAUCUCCAGCGGCAGCUAAAGAAAAAGUCUUCUCAAGUCUCCCCUUCACCUCUCCGGCGAAGAAGCCGCCGGGAUCGGAGAAAUCGAAGCUAGCAGCGGAGGAGGAAUUAAUCAUGGAAGCGGAGCCCCGAUAAAGAGAGCUACUUCCGGCUGUCGCCGGUGAAUUCUGGAAAAGAUUAUGAAGAAACACAUUCAUAUCUUCCGGUUCGGGCGGUCCGCCGGGUUCGGAGUCGGGCUCAAACGAAGAGCGAUCAUCAGUUCCGUACGGAUCCGACAUAAAUUGAAAAUUUUUUUUCUUCCUUAAACGGAGGAAAUUGAAUUAAUUCGACAAAACUGAACUUCUUGUUUUGUGAUACUUGUGUGAGUGAGUGUGUCUUUUAAGUCUGUGUGUGUGUGUGUGUUGUUAGGACUGUCAAGUGUGUGUGUGUGCUGGGCAGAAGUAGAAGUGUAAUGUUGAAGGGUAAAGGCCGGGGAAGAUUAGGGAGGGAGAUUUUGAUUAGAGUGGUAAUCAAGUUUGGUUGUUCUCCCGCCUUAAUUGUAGUUCGGACCAAAAGUACCUCGACUUUUCUCUUGUUUGCAGAGUUCCCCUCAAACUUGUUAUAGUCAUGACAAGAAUUUUACUGCUACUUUUUUUUUUUUUUCUGGUUUCUUGGGUGGGGGGGGGGGGGGGUUCUAUUAGGUUUGAUUUAUUUUGUUUUCGUUAACAAAAAUAUAUUUUGAGGCUAUAAAAUCAUAUGUAAAAAAUCCAGAUGUUGAAAUUACAUGUAUUCAAACUUAGUUUUAUUUUAUACGGUGAAUAACCAUAAGUAGCCUAUCCAAAUAAAUAAAUAAAUAAAAAGCACAUAAGUAAGCAUUAAAACUAAAUGGAUUUAAAUUAGCCAUAUAAGAGCUUUUUGUGUUUCCACUUUUUAUUAUGUUGUUAAUGCUAUGUUUGGAUUGGCCAUUUUUUCAAAAACAAGUUUUUUAAAUACAAUGUUACAGUAAUACAUAAUAAUUCAAAAAAUAUCCUAUCCAUACAAUAUAGCAAAUAUUUCAAAAAAUUUUCAUAGUAAAAAUUUUUCAUAUACACUGUUACAGCAAAAUUUUCCAAAAACACUCGCAAAAACAACUGAUCCAAACGAAAAUUUUUCACUUCAUUGAGAAUUGGGAUUAACAAUUAAUAUGGAGUUUUUAGUGAACAUGGCUCUUGAUUAUGAAAUUAUAUUUAAAUACUUUAGAGAGAAAGUAGGCAGGAGUUAACAAGAUGAAACAAGUCCGUUCUUUUUACUCAUCAAAAGUUAAUCUCACGACAAGCAUUUAAAUUUAACUUAUUGGUGCCUGUAAAUGUAAUCUUUGGUAAGUGAAAAUACAAGACGAUUGACCGUACUUGAACCAAAGAUGAAAGGAUUCCUCAAUCAAUCAGGACAAGAAUCUUGGAUGACAUUUAUUAAUUCUUUCUUAGAUUCCAACAUAACAUCCAGCUUUUAAGUUUUUCUUUUUCAUCCCUAAUGAAUAAAAUGAUUGCUAGUGUGGUUGGACAGGCUGUUGAGGUUUCAGAAUCUACUGCUAUCAAACACUACUAACUACUGGCAGUAGACAGUAGUAGAGGAUUGAAUCAUCAGCCCUCCGAGUUGUUGGUAAAAAAGAGACGACUGGGAAUAAAUAAAUAAUACUCCCUCCCUUUUCUUUUGUAACUGACGUUUAAAGUUUUGCCCACUAAUUAAGAAAAGUUUUUUAUUACUUAAAUCUGUACAUUAUUUUUCUUUUAUACCCUCAUUAAUUAUCCAAUUUAUCCAUAUUUUCUCACGUUAGAGUACUAAAUGGUGCUGUUUUACUAGGGCUGUUACAAAGAGAGAAGCAAUAAUUACUAGGAGUAGUAAUUAAGAACUCUGUAUUGAAAAAAAGAGAUAAAAGGAUAAAAUUGUGAAAAAAUAAUUAAUACUAUAUAAAAAUAAUAAAAUGACAGAUAAAAAUAUACUAGACCAAACUUCUUAAACGUUAAUUAUAAAAAAAAAGGGAGGGAGUACGUCGUUUCAUGCAAUUUUACCCAUGUCUAAAACUCCAACCACUUACCAUAGUUUUCAUACAAGCUUUUAGCUUAAAAAAAAAAAAAAAAAGAGGAGCAGAUUGGAGGAUGUCUUGAUUAUUAUUGGCCGAAAGUGCCCAAGUCAGAGAGCGCCUCUUUCAUUUUCCUUUGUUGAGAACCUGAUGAGAUUGGGUUAUCCAGCAGGAUCGCCACCUUAGCCAGAAACUGAAAUCAUAGUGUAUUUAUUACUGACAUUUUGGUAUUCCCGAGGUCAAGUCUCUCUCUCUCCUACAUCUCUGCCUCUCUCUCUCUCUCUUUUCUUUUUAGUGGUAUUUGAUCGGUUGCGUUGCGUGUGGAAAAUCUGAACCCCACAGCCAGGAAAAACCUCUACACUCCAAGCAAAUUAGUAUACUCUAUCCAUUAAUUUAUACUCCUAGUAAUAAUAAUAGACCCCAUCCCAUUAUAUAUAUUCCCAUAUGCUUGUUCUGUUAACCCUCCAAUCUAUGAAUUUUCCAAACACCAGUGCCAUGUCUUUAUGGGAAGGAUAGGAAUGACGACUGGAGUUGCGAAAAAGCAGUUUCCAUUUGUUUAAUGGAAGCAUGCAAUUUCUGACAUUGGAAACAAGCCACCAACCCCCUACUCCCACCUCACCAAAGUGGAAUUCCCAAUUCAUGUGCUCAUGGAAGCAUCAGAGAGACAAUCGAGCCAUCUUAUCUUCUUCUUCUCUUGUCUAAAACGGCAUCUUCGUUUAAAUGGUUUAUCAAAUUGUACGCUCCACAAGCAAAAUGUACCGCUCCACUAGCUUCCAAGACAAAAAUGGAAACCUCCACCCUGCCCUGUAUUGCUGAUGAUCUUCUCUGCUUUUGCCCAGCUAAUGAAGUGGUUGGUUUUUUAGGAACCCACGGAAAAUUUAUCUUCAUUGCACAAGCGUCCUCCAAUUUGAAGGAGCUGUUCAACCAAUUUCACUCCCUAAUGAUAUGAUCUGAUAGGAAACUUGUCUGUUAGUUGUCAUGCAUAAGAGAAAAAUUGUGAUGCACUGAUCGUUUUGAUUGGCCCUUAGAAUUAUGGAGCAUCUCCUCCUCCCCGAGCAUCUGUGGCACGUUACACACACUUUCUUGGAGGGCAUUCCAACCAAUGCAUUGAUAAAACUCUCAGACGAAUAAAGGAAAAAAAAAAAAAGGCAUUUAGUAGAGGUCACCGAUCUCCCAAAAGGAAAUCCAAGGAAGGGUUGUGAAGAUGAUGAAAGAAUGAAUGUUCAUCAUCGCCUCAAACCUCUUCUUUUCCUUUCCGACCUCUUAAACGAGAAGAGCAACAAAUUUCCUCUUUUCAUAAUUUCUGCCCUCUUCAUUUUCUUCACUAACAUCGUUCCCCUAGCAACUUCAUUUCUUUUCUUAUCCUAUUGAGCAAGUGAUGGACAAUCUAAAAUAGUGGGAGCAAAAAGAAAUCAUAAAUUCCGGAAAAGCCUUGUACCGUAAAAGGAAAAAGACUUCAACUUCCAAUAAUCAAUUGAAUACCUAAUGAAAAUGUCAAAACAUUCGUUCUGUUUAUACUUGUCUAAAACAAUCGAAUCAGUCCACAGUAGCAUAAGAAGAAAAUACAUCCCUGGAAGUUUUACAAGGAGCGGGCAGAGGGAUGUAUAUGAUCUGCUCAAACACUUCUGAGAGCCAAUCGCCCCAACUCUUUCAGAUGGAGGCAAUUUUUAUUGCCCAGAAUAAUUGGGUCUUAUUCAUUUAGCCAGUCCCGUUGUUUUACAAAUGGGACAUAAAUUCUUGUGUGUAAGCCAUUGUUUAAUACACUCGGCAUGAAAAUCAUGCCCGCAGUCCAGAGAACCAAGAUCUUCACCAUCACUAUAUUCUUCCUGCAAAUAACAAGGUAGGUAGAACUUGAGGCCCCGCUUAUAAGAGCCAUAAAACUGCCAAAUCAACAGCAAAAGCAAAAAUCGUAUCUUGCAGAAACCCAGAAUGCAAAGACUUGGAUGGUUUACCUGACAUACACAGCACGGCUCUGUUUCAACCUCAACUGUUUUAUUGCUUACAUACUUCCGUUGUUUCAACUGCUUCAAAAUGGUUUCUUCACUCAAACCAGUGCUCACAUUUCCAAUACGCUCUUCUAAUGCCAAUAAUUCCUGUAAGGGUGCAGGAAAUGAAGUUCUAAGAAUGUGCAGCAGAAAGCUCAUGAUACAAGAUCAAGAAAUUACUGUCUAGGUCACCUCAUAUGACAUGUUAUCAACAUCAAGCCGCAUAUCCCUAUGGCGAUCAUGAAAAUCAGCCAUCCCGAAAAAGACUGAUUGGUCAAGAACCAUGACAUCCUGUCACAAUCAAAAACGUUCAUCAAAUAACUAAAAACAAUACAUUGAGCUUCUCACAAUCUACUGCCCAAAAACUAGACAAGACAAAACUAGCUUGCCUUGCAUGUGCCACAAAAAGGAGGACGAAGCAGGAGUACCAUUCUCAUGGCACCUCACCCUUUUAUACAAGGCAUCAGUCACCUUCUAAAAGCUGAUGCAAAUUAUUUUUUGAUCUAUCAAGAGUAACAUUUUGAAGUAUCAAAAUGUCACCUGUUAGUGUGCAUCUAAAGGAGUGCGCACAAUCUUCUAAAUUUCUGCUAUCAAAUAUCUAGGUUAUUGUCCUGUGCUAUUUUUUGCACAAACUACAAAGGUGAUUUCUAUCCAAUUAAACAUUCAAUGUAGCCUGCAAUUUGCUGUCUUCCACAGGACAGAGAAUGAAUACUUAAUCAACCAGAGUAUCACUACAAAAUGCCGGAUAAUCUAGGCAAAGCUUGUCUAUUUAUACCUAGAAAAUUAUCGUAGCAAUGUAAAAAUACAAAAGCUUUCAAUUAAUGUCAAAAUCUAACCUCAAAUCGCAAGCCCUCUCCUCCCCUGCGCAUGAGAUCCAAGACAUUGCGUAUCUGCUAAUUAGCCAAAAAGAAAACACGAUUAUUGACAUUUAUAUGAUGAUAUGCCAAAAAAAUAAGGAAAUCUUCAUCAUGUUUGAACGAUUCAGCUGCAACAAAGUGCCUUAAAGGCAAGAGUGCUAUCUGGAGAUACAAUCACAACAUUAAGUGCCAAGAUGAAAUUCAAUAGAUAACUUGCAGAAAAGAAAAAAAAUCAUAUCAGAGUUGUUAACCAUAGUUUUAAAAUAGGAAAUUUAACAGACUUAAAUAAUAUACUAAUAAACUUCCGGAAAAAGAUGGCUAACAAUUAAGAAUAUUGGAAAACAAACGGGAAAAGAAAAGAACAAAAAAGUAAAGCAACAUGAUGUACCUCAGACAUUAGCCUGUUUCUUCCUUCACUAGCAGCAGCCAAAUUUCUUAAUGAAUAAGAUCCAAAAGCAGUAUCAAGGUGUCUCUCCAACAAAAUUGCUGACCUUGAACUUGCUGCAUGGCGUCCCUGACUACCAGAUCCAGAUGAAAGUGGCAUGUCUUGGGAGGACGAGGGACCUGUCCGCAGUGAAGGAUAAUUGCUGCUGUGACCUCCAGAAUCGCUAUCAGCUGAAGAUGAGGAAGAUCUGCGAACAAAUUCUGAUAGUCUCCUUGGAUACUGAGAAGGAUUCCGAGGGGGUGUCCAAGUAGGGGUAGAUGAGUGGACAACUGCACUAGAGCCAGUGCGGGAAGUUGAUGCAACGUUUCCAGGAUUACCACCGACACUUCCGCCAGCUAAACUCCAAUUAGGAGGGUUUUGUGAUGAAUUUCUUAUCUCCGUUGGUGGUACAAACAUGGGAUGUUCUGAAAUGUGCCUUGCCACACUGGAUGAACUAGACUCCUCAUAUGGUACAGCAUCUAUAUCUCCAGAAAUGGCAAAACUAGAUGAGCUUCCAGUUCUUGAGCUAGAUGCUCCAUUCCACCUGGAAUGCGGGUUUCGGCGCACAGAUGACACAUGCACUACAACUGACUGACCUUGAGAACUUCCACUGUCGGUCAUAGAUGCAGGUCUAAGAUCCAAAGAAUUAUUACGGGGGAGCAACCUAAAUGAAUGCUGAGCAGAUGAACUAUUAGGAUUUCCAACAUCAGUCUCAGUGGAGACUAUAUUAUUGCGUGAAGAAUCUUGUUGAUGUGAGGCAUUUAUCCUCAAGCGAAAAUUUCUGCGGGAACUCUCUGCAGUUCCUGAAGCAGUUAAUGGAGGAUGACUAUCAGAAGAUGCUCGUCCAACACUUAAUCCGAGUCUCGGGAUUACCUGCCCUGGUAGAUUGACCGUUGAGUUGUUUUCUGAAGGGGCAGCUAUACCUGUGCUGCUGGAUGCAUUAUGCCUAGCUGGUACUGAAUGAAAUAGAUUGCUCUCAGCAUGUUGAACCAAGUUUGAACUUCCACUCCCAGAAGAUUGUCCAGCAUUUCCUUCCAGUGUUUUUCUUUUACACGAAAACCUUCGACCAUCCAAUGAACAGCCAGGCCUGCCAUCAGCUUCCUCCACCAAAAAUCCACCAGUUCCAGAAGACAUCCCAAAAGGAUUGGAAGAAUUACUAGCAGAUAGCAUCCGCUCAUUCACUGAUUCACUAGCUUUGAACGCAUUUUGACAUUCCAAAACUUGGCAAUCAUCAUCCUCAUCUACAAUAAUAUCUGAGUUCAUAUUCAGAUCCUGCCGAAUGGAUUCAGAGCCUGAAUUUUGCAUAAAGAAAGUCCCACUUGCACCUUCAUUGCUGUGCAUAUUUACACCAACAUUAUUUAAUGAAAGAAUAUUAGAGGGCCCAUAUUGCUGUCCUUCUGCGCCAAGAGCUGCACCAGCACAAACAUUUAUUGGAGAUGACCACCCAUGUUCAUUUUUCCGAUCAGUUUCACUAACCUCGCCUUGUUCCCCUCUAGAACUACUUUCACCGAAAUCCCAUCCACUUAAAUUCUGCCCUGGUUGGUUCACUGUAUUUAGAAAUCCAACACUUGUGUCUGUCGGCGACAUCAAAUAAUCAGGUAUCCUGUUUUGUGACGAAUUCCUUAUGCUAUUCCAGUGCACCUGCUGGUCUAAGCUAGUAUCGCUUGAUGUUGAUCCAUGAUCAAUGCCUAAAACUUCAGGUAAGGAACCAACAGCACUCCUUUGCCCUUGCAUUAGGGCUGAAUGUGCUUCUUCAAGAUUUCUGAACAGCUCCAAAAAAUGCUUACGCAAACAGAGCUCAGAAAGCAGUUCUUCAGGUAAUCUGAGAUUGUCAGUAAACAAAUUCACAUGAUUAUGAUUUGGCCAUAAAAGAGAAGCCAAAGAUAAGAGAUAAUACAACAGCAGAACUGGUAUUGCAGAAUGACGUUAAAUACAAAGUCUUUCAGUGCCACCACAAAAAUGUAUGCAUCUAACCACUAAGAUGCUUUUGAAAAAUUAUGUACUAAAUGUGGUUUGUUACAGACCUUAACUGCCAGCAUUCUAUGACCAUGCAGUCUUACCAUCAGCAUUCAGAUUACAGAACACAAAAUCAGAAUGCCAGCCUCACCAUUUCAGUAUUUGUUGCAGAACACUGACAGUGAAACAUGCCGGUGAAGGUUUCAUGCAUGCCAGCCAAAUGUUCUAACUUUCAUGACAUAAAAACUUUACCGCACCUAAAAAGCAAUGCAGGCAUGCAUUGUUCAUUGGCCUCGAGCAAAGCAUUGAGAUAUCUAGGUAUGUGCUAAAGGUUUGUUAGUCUGCUAACAACAGUAAGGUUGAUUACAACCAAAACUCUUGAAUGCAAGUUGCAAAUAUAUCAUUCUUCCAUCAUCCCAACAACUUGAAGCAAAAAAAUGAGGAUACAAACUUAGCUAACCUAGCAACAACUUAAAGCACGAAUAUGAAUUUACAAGCUUUUUGUUCUGAUAUCCCAAUCUUUACACAAAAGAGAAGACACAACGAAGAAUCACCAACCAUAAAAUGACAUUGCACUAAAGCGUUACUUAACAAUAUGAUCACACCCGAUGUGUAAAUAGACGAAGAAAUUAAUAAAAGCAAACUGCAUCAAAAAUAGAUUUUUUGUAGAUAAUAAAACUAGGAAGAUUCUAUUAUUAUUUUUCUUGGAAAAGCCUUAAAAUCAUUAAUCAAAAUGGAUUGGUCAGAGAAGAAAACCACCCAGAAUCAGCUCUCAAUCCAACCAUCAAUGAGUCAAGUACCAAAAGUCAUAACUUUUUUUUUUCAAAAUUAUAGGCAUUUGCUCUGAACAAGAAGUAUUUGGAAACAAGAAAGAUGCAAGGAAAUGAAACGAGGAAAAAAAACUAGAAAAUAAUAAAAAUUAUCAAAAAGUCAAGAAUCAAUAGAGGAGGAUGAACCAAAAAAUGGUAUGAUUCUAUUACCUAGACCAAAAAAGAAUAGCAGCCCAGAACGAACAGCAACCAAGACUGGAUUUUUAUCAGACAAACAGCAGCAGAUUAAGCUGUAGAUCUACAGUCAAGACCUGAAAUGCAAAAUAACCGCCAGAAAUCAGCGCUGUCAAACAAAAAUAACAAAAAAAAAAACAAUCUUUCCAUCCAAAUUUAAGAUUCUUUUUCCUCUAUCGGCCACAAAGAAAACAAGAUAUUAAAAGAAAAAAAGCCCAAAACAGACAGACCUCACUGCUGAACAAUCUGUGAUAGAUGAAGAGAUACAGAUGGAGAAAAGGAGAGAGAUAAGAAUAAAGAGAAAAGGUUUUGUAAGAAGAAGAUGAGGAAGAAAUGGUGGGUUAUGGGUGUGAAAGAGGAUGGAAGAGAGAUGGGUGUGCUAUUAGCAUUUAGCAUUGGGGGGGUAGAAUAAUGAGGCUGAUUAAAGCCAGACCAACAGUAAUCCUUUGCUAUUUCAGUCAAUUAUGCAUUUUUGACAUUUCAGAAAAUUAAAAAGUCAUGUUAAUCACGAUCAGAAGCAACUGAAUUGAAUGCAAGAAAUGUCAAGGAUGGAAAAUGAAAUGGGACAUGAGAAAGAAAAUACUACUAAUAGAAAUCGGUAUUCGGUAAGGCAGUGGCAGUAAUAGUAGCGGUAGAAAACAAAACCAAAAACUGAAAAGAAAAGAAAAGAAGAAAAAGGAGAGGAGUUGUCAUGUUCAUGCAUAUGUGGGUUAAAAGGCCGCUUACCAAAUGGCUUUUUUUCCUCAUGUCUGAUGUCUCCCCUCUCUUUUUCUAUUGCCCUUAAACGUUAAUCGCUGUCUUGAAAUUUAAAGCUCUUCUUUCAAGGAAGGGGUUGGAGGGCUGGACGCCUAAAGCCUAAAGGGCAUAGUACGAGUACUAUAGUUUAAUAAGAGCAGUAAAUAUUUUGGUUGAAUGUUGAAAUGUUUUUCUUUUUUGGUUGGUCUUUUCUGUCAACUCAACUGUGUCUCCCCAAUGCAUCUCCACGCCGAGCAGCUGGCCCCUGUUUGGCAUCUCAUAAUCACAUGUCCGUCUUUGCACUUCGUUUCUUUAAAUUUAAAGGCCUAAUGAACCUGCUUCUUGGUUUCACACUUGUGUGGGCUGUGGCAGUCUUCUUUUUUUUUUUUUCCUCUUUUCUCUUGGGAGGUGUUUUUGUGGUGGUGGUGGGGGGUUUUGGGGGAGGAGAGGGGGGAGUGGUUUUUCUUCUUCUUCUUUUUUGGUUCUUUAAAAAUCGUGUUUGGUGAAACUAGUGGAAUCCUAUUAUUAUGUUACCACGCUUGUUUUCAUAGUUUAAUUGUUCAUUUUAAUGCUGAAUUAACUCUUGCUCUGCUCUGCAAUACUUAAAAGAUAAGAAAUGUAUAAACAGCGAGGAUACAAAUUCUUAGGUCUUGUUUGGAUUGCUAUUUUCCGUCAAAAAAUUACAUCGUUUUUCGUGAUCACAUUUCCCUAUUACUUUUUUCCCUCACAUAUAUCAAAUCGCUACAGUAAUUUUUCUAUGAAAAAUCAUGAAAAAUGCAAUCCAAACACAACCUUAGUCAAUUAGACGUGAGAAUCAGCUGUAACGUAAUCUUUUCCUGUAUGCACUAAACUCUAAUGAACGAUACCAUCGAAAGCAACUAAUCGUUUAACAAAUAUAUUAAUUCAUUCGAGAGUAGGUGUAAGUAGGAAAUUUUAAAUUUUUUUUUUGUUUCAAAUAUAUUAAUUCAUUCGAGAGUAGGUGUAAGUAGGAGGAGAUUUUGAACUUUUUAACAAGCUUUGAUUGAGUUGAAUCAAAUAAAUACGAAAUGGAGGUCUCCUUUUUCCCUUUCAAAUUGCUGUAUUCGAACAAUCAAACCAAUAGCAGUACUAGGAAACGGCUGGGUGCUCCCAAUGACACCAAGAGGAGAACGAAAAGAAUGGAAUGCGUCUCCAAUUAGCUCAUUCAAAUUUGUCAUUUUUUUUAUUCAAAACACGUGAAAAGCAUGGCAAACUAGUAUCAAUUUAACACAACUAAACAGCUUCUUUUCUCCAGCACCUUAACGAAAAAUUAGCGUACAUGAGUACAGGGUGCAUACCAUGAUUUGUGGGGGUAUUUUCCAUGUUGUGCUCAAUUAUCACAACUUGAGUAAUGGAUUUUAUCUUAAAGGAAAGAUAAAUAAUAUACAUUAUUGUAAAGUCGAAAGAUAAGCGGCACUUUAUUCAUAUGUUAAUUAUCGAUUCAUUACUUCAACGCCCUUGGAAAGAUUUAUUUGUUGUUGAAUUCAUUGAAAUCACACCUACAUCUUAGCAAAGUACUCAAAAUUUAUAUUUCUUUUUGUUCAUAAGCGUCAGCUUAUCAAUUAUUAGUAAUUAAAUUAGUCUUAAGGACACAUAAAAGCCCAAAAGGAAAAGAACAAAGAGAAGGAAAGAAAAGCGGUGUAAACUGAAGGAUUUGGUCACAGUAAAAAUUGUCUCGUUACAAAAAACGAUAGAUACCUGCAAGUAUAUAUAAAUGGUCCAACCUUGUUAUAAUAUUUAAUUUUAAGAUUAAUCUUAGAUCAAUGGAUCUACGUAAUAUUUGAAUUUAAAAUUUAACCUUUUUUUAUGCUGGCAAUGUAUAUGUCGCAAGUCAGUAUGUAUGUAUAAAAGAUCUUCUCUUAAUUUUGACCCGCAAGUAAGUAGGCCGCAAGGCAGCUCCUAUAAUCUCACCAUACCACGCAAACAGCUGCUGGGCACGGCAGCAACGUCGCAUCAUCCAAGCCUAGUGGUAGUGGGGCUCUUUAUUCUUCUUCCAAUUCCAAGUCUUUGGUUCUAUAAAUAUGCUCAUCCUCCUUUCCUUCUUUCCUUUCUCUCUCACACUCACCGCCUCACCUCUCUAGUCUUUGAUUUCUUUCUUCUUUCAAUCAAAUUCAAAGGUGGGCUUGCUUUGCUUUGCCUUUUUCCUUUGUGUUUUGUAUUGUUGGGUUUAGGUCACAAGUCACGAGACAGAAAAGCAUAUUAGCAAUUGCCCAUUAGCAAUUGGCAAUUAGCAAGCUUCCUAUCUUUUUCCAAAUGGUCUACUCAAACCACCCUUGCCUAACAAAUAUAUAUAUAUAUAUAUAUAUAUGUUACAUAAUUACAAGAGGAUAAGUGUGAUUCCAUUCCCUGCCCAGAAGAAGGAUGAGAGUCUAUAAUGCGAUGAAAUUUCCCGUGAGAUUAUAUGCUUGUGAGGUCAGACAAGGCUGCUGUUAGCUUUAGUGUUAAAUAACUUGUACAUGACAAAUUUUGGAGGUGCCGACAUGCGCCCAACCAUAUCAAGCUACAGGCAUCAUCUCAUUUGGUGGCACAUCCUAAUGUCCAUCACUCUUUUUAUCUCUACAUAAUUUUCAUUACUUUCUGGGUCAAAACACUACUCUAUGAGUCUAUGGCCUAAGCAAAACAUCAAAAUCUACUGAUUAAUCCCAUUAACAAUCCUCCAUUUUUUUUUUUUUUUGCUGCAUAAUAAUACUCUUCCUACCAAACAUUUUAUGUUGUUCAUGUAUGUGUACAGAAACGCUUUUCUAAUUUUCCAUUGCAUUUGUUGUGUCUUAAAGCAAACAAAAUCUUACUGCUUACCUAUUACCUUACGGCAAUAAAUACAAGACAAAAACUUUUCAUUUCGCUCCGUUUUCAUUAGGCAAAAGUAGUUUCCACGCAAGAAUAGGGUAAGAGUGAUGAUAAACGCCUCUAUUCUAUAGUAUAUUUCUAUGGGAAAGGGCAAAAAAAAAACACACACACACACACACAGAGACAGAGUGGAGCAUCAAUCUAUUCUAUGGGUCAUUAAGCAAGAGUUGGACUUUUUUGCGUACACUGUGCUGUAGGAGGAGUCAUAAAAUCAAAGGGGUCUGUGUUGGUCUACAAUUAUGGGACCCAAUCCUUCUAUCAAUUUCUCCUGUCUGAAAGGUAGGUGGUGCGGUGGCUCAAUUUAAUCGUGAUGGCAGAAGCUUUAUGAGUAAUGACCCUCAGAAUUUUGGGUCUACAAUGACACAAGAAUUGGAAUGACCCACCCAAUUUUACGUGUGUAAAAGCAUACGGGUUUGGUUUGGGGUGGGGUGGGGUGGGGCAAUAAUAAUAUGGCUGCUCAAAACCGAAGGCAGUGAUGAUGGAAUUGCAUAUUUCGCACAGCUGCGGGUUAUGCCUAUCGACCGGCCAAAAAAAUGGGUAACAGAUCAGAUUUUGGUGUCCAAGAAUAAUAAUCAUAACACUGACUUGCGGAAAGAUGACAAAAAAAACCCCUGAAGGAAUCAUCAGUGUCUUAUAGCUACCACCACGACACAUUAUGACAACAUGUUCAUCUCACUCCUUGGAAGGGGCCACUUUUUUAUGGUUUUGAUAAGCGCUAAAAGUGUGAUUAUGUGAUGGUUUUCUAAAGAUCAUCUGCUGCAGGCGACAUGAUCUUUUGUAUUUUUCCACCCCAAGAUGGGGAUAUGAUAUGUGGUAACACGAUCAAGAAACAUGAUCCACAAGGCAAAGGGUAUGAACUCCUGAAGAGAGUCUUUUGAGAAUUCAGGAGGAGGAGAAAAGGACAGAAAAGAGGAUGACGAAUGAAGGGAUGCGCCAUUUAUUGCUUGUAGCCGCGGACAGGUGCAGCAUGCAUCGUGAAAUGAAGGAAAUGUUGCAGCAACAUCAAUAAUGAUGCAGUCACUAGCGGAUCAUGCAAAGGCCAAGGCCGCUCCGUAAGCCUCAUUUCCUGUUGUUUUUGCUUGUGAUUUGCAGGAGGACAAAUGAUUGUUUUGAUCGUGCUUUAUGGAAAAACAAAAUAAAGGUCAAAAGAUGGCACACAGUAAGAAACAACACCGGAAAGGGGUGGACGCAAAAAAAGCCAAGCCAAGUACUUACAACUUGGUAAGAGAUGAGAGACUCAAAACAUAAAGCAGGCAGAACAGAAAAGAAAUGGCGCCUCACAUGAUCCUUGGGUCAUGGAAUUCAAGCUCGCUCCUUUCCGCUCCACGGACAAAAUACUAAAACAGUAGCAAGUAUAUCAUGUUUUCCUGCGUCUUUUUAUCGAUUCCAAGUCUUGAGCCAUGCCUCUCAUCAGCCAGUCACUAAGUGAAACCGAAAUGCUGGCUCACUCUUUAUCAUCAUGAGAGAGACAACUAGUGGCUGCCCUGCUGCAGGUCUCCUAAGGAAAGGUGGCAAUACUAUCUUGAUCUCCAUCAAUUUCCCUGUUCAAGUAACAACCUGAGUAAAAUCCUAAGCAAGUUAUCUGACAUCCAAGCCACGUCCUGGAUCACGAAAGAUGAAAAUUGCAGCCUCAGACUGUCACAAGUUUUGACAAUAACAACAAUACAAGCAUCAUUAGCCAUGACAACUACAUCAUCUCUCAGGCUAACGUACAAAAAUUCAAGCUUUCCCUUUGAACUUGCUGAUGUUAUCUUAGCGAUUAAUUGGUGUGUGCAUCCUUUCAACUAUCCUAUUUACGGCAUCACGAGACAUCACUAGAGUGUCGUGCAACAAAAUGCUAUAGACAUUCAAUCCCUGCAAAAACCAAAAGUCAAAAAAAAAAAAAAUCAGAACCAGACUAAGUGCUGGAGAAGAAUCACCUCGAAUAAAAUCCAAAACAGCCUGUCACUACUGAAACAGGGUGGCAGAUUAUCAAGGAAAAAUACAAUUUAUUUCUACAUAAAUUACCAUCCACAUUUUUGGUAGACAUUUGAACUCUACUGAAACCAUGAAAUGGCUAAUGGUUGUUCAUUAAUAACAUAACAGGAAAAAUAAUCUAAAUCUUCUUGAAAAGGAAUCAGUAUUUGAAAACUCAUUGAAAGGUUAUGAUCUUCUUGAAAAGGAAUCAGUAUUUGAAAACUCAUUGAAAGGUUAUGGCAAAGAUAAUUAUAAAAGCGUGAUUGAUGAGUAAUUCCAUAGUUCAUCUGAAAUUUUAAAAAUUUGAUAAAUUGCAGUUCAUCUUUCAGAUGUGAAUAGUAAGCAGGAAUUACAUCCAACAACAAACUCACGAGGGACAAAUCAAAACUAAGUUGAUACUUACAAUUGAAGGAAGAACAUUGACAUAAUGUAUAUUUUGGGUAGCAAGCUUCAGCUUUUCGUUAAUUGCAUCUCCAUCCACCAGCAGAAGUUUCUUGGUAUCCACCAUUAGAUUAUAAUAGCUGACAACAUUUUUUGUCUUAUGUGAAGGGAUCUCUAAAUCCUCAAAAACCAUAAGCUGUGGAUAAAGAACCAUACGAUGUCAAAACUAAUAUAAUUAGAUGAAUGGGUGAACAUAAAGAGCAUAAGCUGGAAAGCUAUUCCUCAUCCUAAAAGAAAUGAUAAAUGUUAUCAUUUCCAUGGGAGAGGGAGGUAGAAAGGCCAAAACAACACUGGAUAAAUGUAGCCACACUAGAACAGAAGUACAAGCUUUAUAAUAGAAGAUAAAUCUCUUAAAAAAUAUAAAAUCUUCAAAUGAAAGAGACUUAAAUCCUCAAGGGCUUCCAGGUUAAUAGUUAAUUAAAAGUAGAAAUGACAAUUUUCCAGACUCCCAAAAUUCGCAAUACUCUACAAAUUCAGUCAAAUACAACAAUCUGCCUUAUCUAACAUAUCUCGAGGUAUCAGUGCUCAGAAAGGAAGGCUAGUGUGUGUGCUAACUUAAUCCGGGAGGAAAGCCUCAAUAAGGUUUUUAGCAGGUUAGUGCUGUUGUAUAUCCCAGUAGUUACUUCUCAAUUGCAACGGAAUUGCUGUUUAACAGAUGAAAAUACUUAUAUGGCAACUUGAGGGAUAAACAUCAUCGGUAAACAAGUCCAAUAAUGCAAUCAGAACAGAAUAAAGUACCAACAAUUAAUAUGAUAAAGAAGCUCUAUUUUUCACUAUUAAUGUUGGUGUACUCCUAAUUCUAGCCGGAACUCUAUCCUAGAAAUCAAAGAUGUUACAAGAUACAAAUCAUCCAGUUAUGGCCAAAAUAUUUAUGCACUACAAUGAAAGAAAAUUAUAAAGAGGCAUAUAAAAUUAUCCAGAUAGUCUAAAGCAUGAAGCGAAUGGCUUUGCUCUGAAAGACUGGGGGUUUCUUUUUUAAAAAAAAUGGACAAAGGGUUCUUUUUUCCCCAGACAAUUAAAUCAUCAUCCAGACCAAGAAAAACUUAUGGCAGGACACCACAAGCAUAAGAAUAAAUCAAAUAAAUAAAGGGAAACUAGGACUGAAGUAACUUUUGGCUACAUAGGGGUCCAGGACAAAAUUUUUGCCCAUUGUUCUAAGACAACCCAACCAAAUUCUAGAUAAGAAAAACAAGGAGGAAAUUAUAUAAGACAAAGUACGCUUUCAAAAACUCGCCUUUCCUUCUGCUGCUCUAGCUGACAAUGCAAUCUUUAGCCCCAGUCGACGGACCUUCUUAUUCAGCUUGAUAGCAUGACUUCGUGGUUUGGGACCAUGCAUAGUUGCACCACCCCUGAACUGUUAUUCAGCAAGCAAAUCCAUAGUAACCAUUCAGAGUCAUACAAAAAGCACCAUCUAUACAGAAAUAUAAGACAGCAGUACAUCACCUGAGGACCUCGCAGUGUUCCAUGUCUCGCUCGACCAGUACCCUUCUGUCGCCAUGGUUUUCUACCAGUUCCACUGACCUCGCUAAUGGUUUUGGUUGAAUGAGUUCCCUGACAAAAACUCACUGCUCUAAGAAAAUUUCACAAUAAUAAAUUAUUCUCCAGCUUAAAGCUCAUUAAGAAACUAUUAAUAUACACCAAGCACGAAAUAUCCUCCACUGCAAGAACUCAAACUUCCCUUCUUAUAUGCAAAUAACAAUUAAAAAUGUUGAAGAUAACAAGAUACUAGAUGCCAAAAGUUAAGAAAGUUUAAAAAACUGCAGAAGGUUAUAUUGACCUCACUCAGUGGCAUGACAUUAAUAGAUUUGCUAUUCUUAACUCAAUUGUUUAAGAGGAGGAUACAAGGUACAAUAUUGGCUUGUGAAACAUUAAGACAUGUUAUCCUGUCAAUUUAUCAUACUUCCAAGUAAAGAAAGAUCAUCCUACCUGCUGUCGUUUUGCAAGCUGCCACCUUACAACACGAUGGACAAUAUCUUUCCUAAUUGGAACAUCAAAAACAUCGCCAGCCAAAACCAUCAAGCCUUUAUCUUCAUUGGAAAAGUUUGUGACCGGAAUCACCAGGUCCUGACAAAGUCCUAAGAAAUCACAAAUAAUCAACACAGUAAACAAGUGAUGUUUCACUAGUUGAACACAAAGUAGCAAUAUGCCAGUCUAUAAGAAAUUUUACCUUCAUCGGAUGAGACAGAGAAUAUAUAACAAAUCAAAACCAAAAGUAAACUUCAUUUGGUAGGGCCAACUCAAUCUAUAACCUUCCCAGAAACAGAAAGUAAAUCUCCUAGAUAAACUAAAACAUAUCCUCAUGUAAACUGAAAAUCCACUACAAACUCUUAUUAUUUGCAGCCAGAAGCCUUUAAAAAACUUGAAAAUUCUGGAUUUAAGAUACAAACCUAAUAAGAGAAAUUUGUAUCACUCUCUUCAAUACAUUGUGUCAUACCUACCUUGUCAUACAUCACUAUAAACUCAAUCAUAUCGUUAUAAACCAAAUGCAACGAAAUUCUUAGAGUCAAGCCUAAGGUGUGCAAUCAUCUAAUGCAAUUCAAACUGCAUUAAUUGGACACUGUUUCAAUUCAUUCCUCACAGAAAAAUUGACUUAUCCAUCGAUUCAUGAGCUAGAUUUUUAAAAAAAAAAAGUGUAGAAAAAGAAAGUUUAAUACAGCAAAAUUUUCCAAAAAAAUGGAGCAUAAUGAAGCAUGCUAAUCUUUCCAGAACGUAUCUAAAGAAAAGGCAAGUAUUAGAAGUCAUACCAACUGUGCGCUCAGGGGGGAAAACCCGUUUUCUGGACAACAAAUCUGAGGGAAAUGCAUCUUCACAUGAUCCAGGAGUUAAGAUAGAAGUUGAAAACCCUCGACAAGCAGCGAUAAGUAACUCAUUCUGCAGUCAAAAACCAGAAACAAGAAGAAAGCUAAUGAAUAUGAUGCGACCAACAAAAUGUGCUACCAUCUUCUUUCAAAAGAUUCAUUUUUGCGGAAAAAUUAUGAAAAAAAACAAGGGCACAACCACGGAAGACAAAUUUCAAAUCCUAACUAAUUUCUUGCAAGAUCAGUAUAAGCAAAUUGUGAUAACUAAUCCAGUUACCUUUUGAAGAGCAGAUAAUUCAACAGAAAACACACUUUGCCUAACAGCCCGCUGACAGCUCAAGCCUGCAAUAAAAAUUUCCCCCAGAAUAAUAAUAAAGAGUCAGAUUUUAGUCAAGUUAUUCAGGAGAACAAAAAGAGCAUGAAGGUAACAUACCACUAGAAAAACCAAGUGCCGAAGAAAAUGCACCAUUCCAAGAACGAAAAGCCCUUCUUGAAAUCCAAAGUGCCAUGCUCCAAAAUGAUAAACUCUCGAAUCUAAGAACUCUUUAUCCUUUUAAUUUGAAGGGUUGUUUCUGGUCCAGCUAAACGGGAACCAUCCUGGGAAAAUUUAUUGUUUCACCUGAAAGUUCAUAUUUUUAUCAAUGGAUGAUUACCAGAGUAACAGAUAACGGAAGAAAAAUUAGAACACAGAGCCCGAGAUAUCAUAAAAUUUCCCCCCAUUUGCAUUGCUAGGCAGCUGAGGGAGGGGGUUGUUGGCGGAAGCAUACCAGCAAAGUGACUGAGAAAGGCGAAUUGAUGAAGGGUUCCGAUGGCACAGCCCCGAGACUCAAGUAGUAAGAAGAAGAAGAAGAGAAGCAGCUACUGAAGAAGAAACCCUUUCAUAAACCCUUUGCCAUGGUAACUAUUGGGGAAAAUGGCCAAUUUAGUCCCUAAACUUUUUUUGUCCGUCGAUUUAGUCCUUAUAUAUUAUUUAUAGCCAAUUUAACCCUUAAACUUAUAUUUCGAUUCCAAUUAAGGAACUCAGCGGCGGAGCCACCGCACCAUUUCUUUCAAGUUCCUAAUUGAGCAACCCAAAAAGGGUAUUUUUGGAAUUUCAAUGGUGGGGCGGUAACAAAAAUUAAAAAAAAGUGACAUUAAACAAGAAUUAUACACAAAAUGUUGAUUACUAAAACAGCAGUAAUUCUUCUCCUCCUCCUCAUCGUCCCCUUCAACAAUGCUGCUGCCACCUCCAAUUCCACCGCUAAGCAGCAGACUCUGCCAAUCACAGUCGGUCUCCUAGUUCAACCCAAAGCUUGCCCCUAAGUCCCUCUUCGCCUCCAAGAAAUUUGAGGGCUCCUCCGACUUGGUCGACCUUCGCUACCACAUGGGCCUCGUCCUCUCCUCCCCGAUCAACAUCUACCUCAUCUGGUAAGGCUGGUGGGCCGCCUCCUACCAGCUCCUCAUCAAGGACUUCCUCUUCUCCAUCUACACCUCCGAUCGCCGCGCCACUCCUUCCCUCUCCGUCUCCCAGUGGUGGCGCACCGUCUCCUUCUACACCGACCAGACUGGCGCCAACAUCUCUAGCUCCGUUCUCAUCGUCGGGGAGUACUCCGAACCCCGCUGCUCCUAGGGCACCCACCUCACUCGUCUCUCCAUGCAGCAGGUCAUCGCCACCGCAGUUCGAUUGAAGCGCUUCUCCAUCGACCACAAGAACGACAUCUACCUCAUCCUUACCUCCGGGGAUGUCACCGUCCAAGAUUUCUGCUGAGCUGUUUGCGGCUUCCACUACUUCACCUUCUCGUCCGUGGUGGGCUACACGCUACCUGUGCGAGGGGAGACAAAUAUUUCACAGAACCUGUGAAAGGGCAUUCUCCAAUAUUGGGGAUUUUGGAAUUAAUGGUUGAUCUGUUCAAAGCCUUUUUUGUUCUUCCCCUUGCGUUCCUCGGUACCUUUGCCAGGACACCCAUCAACCAAGUCCAAAAGAAUGGCUUCUCCCUUGGCAUAAGAAAUCCCUUCGGCAGCAUUCAAUUUGGUUUUGGAGGCCAAGAUGGCAGUAACUUUGAUGGCUUCCAGCAACCUCCUGAUGACACCCAGCAGCCCUCCGACAAGAAACUCGAAUUCCGUACAAAUUUCCGAGGUCAUUGGAAGAUUCAUUCUGAAAAUGCUGGAGUUUCAGCCAUGUAGUUCCAGUUGCUGCCUAACAACAAAGCCGUGUGGUUUGACACCACCAACCUUUGCCCUUGCGGAAUUCAGUUUGAUCAUCCAUAUUGUCACGAAAAGAGAAGGAUAAAAGGAGGAGGAGGAGGUGGGUGGUUGGUGGCGGAGAUUGGUAGUGGAGAGAAGAUAAUUUAAAAUUCCUAAAAUGCCCUUGUUUGAUGUUAAAUUAGGGGCUAAAUUGCUUUUAGAUGGCGGCGCCGCCGUAGAAGGCCUUAAUUGGACUCGAAAAUUAAGUUCAUGUAUUAAAUUGGCCAGAAAUAAAAGUUAGGGAUUAAAUCGACAGAAAAAAAAAAUUUAGGGACGAAAAUGGCCAUUUUCCCUAACUAUUUCUGUGUUUUGGGGAGAAUUGUUGUCCGGGUCGGAGUUAAAUGAGUUUGGUUUGCACGUGCUUCGGAAAGAAGUGCGGCCCAUCAGUCUAUGGUCUAAGCUAAAAAGUUUUGUGGGCUUUUCUCGUAUCUUUGCCCACAUUCAUUUUUUGAUUUUGAACUUUACUAGUCUUUCGUCCAAAAAAAAAAAAAAAAAAAAUUUACUAGUCAAUUGCCAAUGAUUUUAGAACCCACCAGUAUAAGUUUUACACAAUUUCAUCGGCCGGUCGUGUCCGGAUCCAUUUUAAAAAAGAAAAGUUAAAAAAAAAAAUCAGAGUAAAAUAGCUUCACGAAACUCAGGUGAAAAGUUGAAGAGAUAUUCGUCGAUAAUUAUUUUGGGUUGCUUGUCAAAAAUUAAUAGCACCCUGUAGAUGGGAAAAUAGUGGAGCAUUUUGAUGACGACUCGGUGGUGUACAGGUAAAACGACCCAAUCAAACUCCUUCCUUUUUUGCUGGAAACAUGAUAUGAAAACGCGAAUGAACAUUAAAAUCGACUAUUUAUGCGGGGUCCUAAAUGCUGCUCCAUCUUCUCAAGCGGCAGCAGUUGAGUUAACCGCUACCACCCCAACAAGCACAUAUGUAUAUAUACUAAUAAGUUGAUGAUAAACGAGCAAAUUUAAAAUCCUAGUAAAAGAGACCUUCAUGUCCAGAAAAAACUAGACUUAUUUUAAUUGGAUCUAGUGAUCUGCUAUUAUACAUCAGCACAGCGCUUCAAUUCAUACUUCUUCACAUUCUUGACACUGAGAAUGACCGAUGCAGUGACCAGCUAACACACCUCAUUCAAUUGACUCCGUUGACCUUCCCAUCUUUGCACAGCUUUCUCACCAUCUUUAGCCACCUCCACCCGGGCCAGUGCCUGCUGUAAAUUGAUAUUGAGGAUCUGCAGGUUCAAUACUAAAAACCAUUACCAGCUUUUCAUCAAGGAUGAGAUAUAGGAAAAGCAAGACAAGCAUCCACAACCACCUUAUGAAACAUGGUUUCCUGGCCUUCACAUGAUCAUUAAUCCACAAUUGAGGUAAAUCUCAUUACUGGCAGUACUCCCCUCCACCUUUUCGCAUUUUCUUCAUUCCAUAAUCCAUAUUGAACAACUCAGUUUCUAACUCAUUGUGAUAUCAGUUCUAUCAAUAUGUGUGAUUCAUAUCUCCUAGAGAAAAUUAGAUCAUAACGUUACUUCCUGAGGAAGUAAUCUGAGCAUCAAGACUCCAACUGAUGAAAAUCUGCAGGACAUCGUAGAUGUCUGUCUUUUGUAUCUUUUCAAACACAAUAAUGUUACCACUCCUAAAAAGUUAAUCAGUCGACACCCGGAAGCAAGCAUAGAAGGUCAUCGACCUCUAUAUAAUCUCCUUCUAGAAUGGUUUUCAAGUCCUGCACAGCCAAAUCGUACAAAUCAUCAGCAAGGAAGUAAUGAUUGAUCCAUGGGCCGUAUAAUUCUACAUGUUCAAAUUCAACAGAUCAUAAAGAAAAAGCAAUCUCCAUUCUUGUUAAUAAGAAAGCAAAAUCUAUCUGGAUAAACUUAAGGGCGUCAGUAAGUAAACUCGGAAAGAGUAGUUAAGGAACCACAUUCAAUUUCCAACCCAUAAGACGAAUGAGGAGAUAGAAGUUUGAAGAAGGGAAAAGAAGAUCAUGUUGGGAAAACAGGAACAUUUAUUACUCUAUACAUAUAACAUCUUCAUUUCUGCAUGUUCAGGAAAGCUCACUGGAAAUCUCAAACUUACUUAUCAGGUCAAUCAAUUCAAGACCAUCACUCGGAAGUUUUCAGCAUCCCAUUUACCAAAGAAAAAAUGUUCAUUCUAAUAUGGCAAGUAAAUCUCAACUAAGAGGACUGUCUACCAACUUAUCCACAGAAUUUACAGUAAAAAAGAAAAAAGGCUUAUGACCAACCUCUCUGUUUCUCCUCAAGAAAUCGCACAUAUAACAGUCACUAAAGUCCUAACGCCAGUGAACCUCCAACAAAGUGAAUAGAAAAAGAGCAAUCCAAAAGGAACAAAGAAUGCUAUUGAGCUUUGACAUUCCACAAUCAGACAAAGCAACUGUUUUGAAAAUAUACUGCAGAAGUCUAAGCAGCAGAAUCCUUCUAACUAUAACUGAUAGGAAAAAUUUCGCUGAAUUGAAAAGAAGAAGAUUUCAGGUUUGAUACCUGCUCAGAAACAGGCUUGAGGCUAAUGGUCUUGUCUAACUCAUUACCCUGUCCUGUAGGGAGCUUCAAAACCUCAUUAUCAUCAUUUUGCGUACUCUUGUCAUGCAUUUUAGAUUCUCCAAUAACUGAUGUAACACUUCCAUCAUAUUGAACACCUAUAUGACGCACAGUUGCAACACUUUCCUCACCGCAGGAACUUAUAUUGUGCUCUGAUAAGUUAUGUCCCAGAUCAGAUUUUUUAAACACUCGGCAAAGGACAAAAGAUCCCUGCAUAAACUUUGAAUCAUGAGAUUCUGAAUAAAUUUUGUUGCAGCUUUAACCAAAUGAAUUAGAGCAGAAACUUCUAACAUAAUCCAAUAACCAAAUUUCCUAGAUCUUUUAAUAUUCAAUCUGAUCAUAUGGGAAAGCAACCAUCAUCAAAAUAUACUUGACAUCUACACAGUACACACAGAUGGAAAUAAAUGGAAAUCACAACCCUAGGAAGAAUACACAACAUCCGAGUCAUAUAUGAAAGAUGGUGCACACAUUAGUCUCAGAGUGUAGGACUGUCGAAUAGAAGCUGACAUCAAGAUCCUUGAAACAAGAAACCAUCUAUUUUCUCCUCUUCUCGCACACAGACAAAUCAUGAUCAAAAGCUUGUCCAGCAGCAGGGUAAUGGGUAUCACACAGUGAAUCUCAAGUCUAAACCGAAGCCUCCCAUUCAGGAUCUUCACAAAUCAAAACUACUUUCAAUAUGUUAUUAGGAAAUAUUCACGAUGCAUUUUUUCUUCUUGCCUUUAACAUUAAGAUCAAUUAAGAAAAUCACCUUUACAUUUUGAAACAAAAUAUACUUUCUUUUACAAAAAAUGAUUUCAUCACACCAAUGCAAAAGGCACCAAAAGCUAUUUAUAAUGCGUAAUUGAUAAUAGCAAGAUAACAAACACAAACUUAAACCUAAUUCCAAAUAAGAAAUAACUAAUCUAGCUCAACAGGUAAAUCACAAACUUUAUGUCUCUAUUUGCGCCUGUAUGUGCAAAUUCUAGUACCAAGUACAAUAAAGUAGAAGAGAAUUUUAACAGCUUUAUUAGGGAAAAAAUGAAUUAAAUCCACAUUGACCCCACUAAAAUCAUUUCCCGAAACCAGCAUAAGCAAGACUGCCAACUGACAAUCAUUCAUUUAACAUGGCCGAAUCCAAUUUCUACUUCAUACCCUUGAAUUUAGGAAGCAUAAAUUACCACCAAAUUUUCUCCAUAAAUAAAAAAAAAAAUAAAAAGAACCGCAGAACCCAAUUCGCAAUGAAAAUGAAAGUAUUUGGGGGAGAAAAAAAUUCCCAUUAGAUAUUAACGUCAAGUUAACUAAUUAUCCAAAAAAGUUAAUCUACUCAAACCCAAUCAGCUUAGACCAACAACAAUGUAUAACUUCUACCAAAAUAUCAGGUACAAAACUUCAAAUUUUCACCAGACCCAUAACUUAAUAAAUUAUCAUCAAAACAUAAAAGAAGAUUAAUACCAUAUGACGAUCAUUGAGAGCAUAUUCAUACAGGGCCCAACGAGUCCUAACAGCAUUCUCAUGUGAAUCCCCCGAAUAAAAAUCAAAACUUUUACGCGUCCCCACCACAACUUUCCCUGCACCCGCAUCAAUUACAUCCCUAACCCUCCCCCUCUUUUUCCAAUACCCACCACCGGCGACUCUCCUCCUCCCUGUCUCCCUCAAAACAACCCUCCUAACGUAACAAUACCAGUGGCGCCUCCGCCCUCCGCUGCCGAACCGGAAGCAACCCGAUUCAGGUAAGUUGAACGGGUUGAAAUUGUACAAGUCUAACUCUUUAAUUACGUCUUUGCCAUAACAAUUGGUGCCGUUGUUUUUAGAAGUAAGGUAGUAGCAGACGAGCUGUUGCUCGGAAGGGUAGAAUCGAGAACCUGGUGGAAGACAAAACGACGUCGGAUCAUCCGGGGGCAUUGGAUCCUCUCCCCUCAUUUGUGGAAAUUUUCCGCGAGAGCAAAGGCAUGGACAGGGGACAGAAGGUAGGGUUUUAUAGCAGUCAGGGACUCAAGAAGCGUGGCCCUGAAGUUUGUUUGGGGUUUUGUCUUGUGUAGUGCUAGCGCAAAAGAGUGUUCGUGCUCCUCAGUAGUGCGAGCUCGCGGGUCUCUUUCCACGAUUAUGCUGAAUGGUUGAUUGCUUUGCUGCUUAAUCUUGUGUGACCUCGUUUGGAGGGUUAAGGAUACUGUUUAUAAAGAAUACGAGUGCUUUUAAGGAUACUGUUUAUAACCUGCUAAAUUAACCUACGUUAAGAAAAUCAGUUACUAAAUACCCUAAAAAUACAUUGAAUAAAUCUUAUAAAUAUCCUAAAAAUACUUUAAAUAAAUCUUAUAUACACUAUCACGGGUAGAUAUACGAUACAUAUGCAAAAUUUAAUUUUCAAAUUCAAAUUCAAAUUAUAUGUCGUACAUCUAAUGAUGAAAAUAUAUACACUACUGUCAGUGUAUAAAAGAUUAAUCCAAAUACUUUUAGUGCUUAAACUUUUUUAUUGUAAACGCAUUGCAACGCUAAACGGGCCAUUAGUGUGGUUUAACUUUAGUAAUCUUCGAAGUACAUCAAAGCUAUGACAAAUAUAAUUUAUACUAAAAGCCAUAUUUAACUUGGGAUUUAUAAUUGUUUAGUAAAGGUAUUUUUCUGUAGCAGAUCGAAUGUCUCAAAUCAAUCAAUUUAGGUAUCGUGUAAUUGUUGUCUAAUAUGUAUUUUAUUAAAGACUUUUGGAUUGAUAGUAAUGUAGUAGAUGUGCUCGUUCAAUUGAACUUGCUCUAUUGGAAAUUGGAAUUGAAAUUUGAUGCAAAAGUGUGAAUAAAUUAAUACGAUUAAACAAAAAUAUACCUAUAUUGGAAUUGAAAAAUGAUUCAAAAGUAUGAUUGAUAUAAUAAGUUAAAUUCUUCUUGGUCAAGGUUUUCCUUUUCCGGGAAUACCCCAUAUCCACAGUCUAUACUCUAUAGGUGCAUGUCUCACCUUUUGAAAAGUCAACUCCAUUGACAAACGAGGAAUGCAACCGCUCAGUGGCCACCGUCUAUUUGGCGGACCUUACCUUCCAUUAAAAAUAUCACAUUUCAGUGACUUGUUUCCAAAAAAUUCAAGUGCGCGUGCGGUGCACUCGUCUGAUUCGAUGUGGUUCAGUUCCCUUCGAUUUAUUUUUGAGCUUUUUUAGGUCCGUCCCCUUCCUCUUAGUGUAGGAUAUAUUAGGUUUAUCGUCUCCGAUCAAAAAAAAAAAAAAAAAGACAAACCAGGAAUGCCCUCUGAAUACUGCGCUUACUGAAGAGGGAUGAUGUCUGUCUACUUUUGUUCCGAUUGUUAAGUUCAUUUGAAAGAAUUUUAAGUACGCCUAGGUUGCGAUUGGAAUGCGGGAUUUAAUGAAAGAUUGAAAUCUUCUCAAAUUUUUAUAAUUAUUUAUGAAGUAUUUAAAUUUAUAAAUUACAAAUUAUUAUAGUGUUUAAAAUAUAUUUUGAUAAUUAGUGGAUUAUAAAUUCAAAUGUAUCUAAAUCAAUUCAAAUAAUUAGAACAACUUGAGCGGAUUUCAAAUUCUUCGUCAAAUUUCUCAAUCUAAAAAAAGAAAAAAAAAAAGAAUGCAUUUUGCCUCUUUUAUGGUAGAAGAAUGCACCCCGAGUGUGUAUAUCAUACAUGCAAUUCGCGAAACAUUAUCGACCCUUUUCUGGUUGAACUCCCCUGGCGUUUCUCUCCACUGUAGUUCUUGAAACCAAACAUUCACUAAAGGAUAAUUUGAUUUUCACUUUCUUUCCCAUUAAAAGUAAAAAUGAUUACCAUUUCAUUUAAUUUUCAAGCAUGAGAUGCGGAAGGGGUCCAUCAUGAUGCACUGAUUUUCGUGAUUCUGAACAAGUUGAAAUUGCAAGAACAUAUUAUUAUAUUGUGUGAUUUACAGAUUUCUGACAUAAUACAGUUCGUUUUCGUCUACAUUAAAGCACAAGAACUCCAGAAAUAACGAGUCCACCUAGUUGAGGGGACAUCGGUUUACUCAUUGACUGGAAUGCUGCGAAACUGUAGUAUCUAUCCGGUGUGAAGUGCAUGGAUGCGUGAACAAAUCUAGCCCCAGGACUGUUAUCGCAUCGCCGGUGCAGUCAAUAUAAAGGGGCACAUGAAGGGCCGAUUUUCUUGUUUCAGUGUUGCAAGAUGACCUGAUAACUGGUAGAAACGGAGGAUGUUGAGGGAGGGGGAGUCCGUUGAGCAUCUUCAGGGGGUCCUUGAUUUGGUUUUUACUUUUACUUGAUUCUGGAGACUUGGCGGAAGGAAGGGAGGCCUUUCUGCAUUUGUGUGAAGACGCCAUGAUCUGAAUUAGCUCAGACGCAAUGGUUCAGGGGUGGUUUUGAAGGGAAUCCGCAUCUUUGCAAGUGUGAUCACCAGUUGAUGCAACUUCCAGGCUGCCCAUCCCAAUCCAUUUCUCCGCAAGUAGCUGUUGCUGCCACUGUCUGUAUGCAGUUACCCAAGUAAUCAUCUGAUAAAGGUGGAUUUAGCCUUAAUCUGUUAUUAACAUUUCAUAUGACAUUAUUGUGUUUUGUGAGCCGGGCUCAGGUUUCAAGCCCUCAUGAUACACCUCCGGGCAUGAGCUGAUACAGAGCCUGGAAGGUGGAAACUUCCAUGAUCCAUCUAGGCGCUUCUUGUACGCUCUUGAGUAAUUGGUGACGGCGAGUGAAUGCUACUACUGGGCUGGGAGGCUGACUGAGAGUUUGGACCAUAUGCAUCCCCUCAGGAAACCAAUGUCCACGGGUUGCUGGUCUGCACUGCGGAUGGUCAUGUUUUCCUUCCCCCGAGUAUUUGUUUGCUUUAAAUAUCUCAGACCAAUGUGUUGAAGAUGAUGUCCAAUCCACCAGCAUAUGAUUAGCGGAACGUCCAAUGCAGAUGCCAUCAGUCAUCUCCGUGACUUGAAUGCGAAUGGUCAGCAGCACUCAGUAGAAACGAGGUGUGGGCUUCGUGGUUCACGACUCUACAAUUUAAUUUUGGGCGAAAGGAUAUCCAUUGUUGUGACAAGUAAACUGGUUUGGUUACUGUGAGAUACGACGAAGAUAAAGCACUGUGAGAUAUGAUGAUAAAUCCCAAUUAGGGAAACUCAUUGCUGCUACUUUAGCAAGUCCUACUCCGCCUAUACUUGGCGCCAGUCCACAAAGUUGAAAACCCCAUUCAUUCUUUUAUCUAUUGAAUUUUUAGUUGUAUACACUGACUAGGAUAUCCUUCUGGGGCAACAUGGGAGUUAAUUUUCGGAUACUUUGAACCAAUACAGUAGUAUAUAGAACUGCGCGUAACGUGCUGGUGAGCAUCAUACUAUUAUUGUUUGCCUGGCCAGGGAGAAUCAGUUGGGGUUGUCCAAAAAAUAAACUAAAAUAAAAAGGGAUGAAUUCGCAAAUUCUUACCAGCCGCCGAAAAUGCUGAAGAGAAAAACCAACCCUACUGUCGGCGAUUGCAUGGAACUAAAAAAUAAUUGAUUUCGAAGGGACUCCCAAGUUUGUUGAAAAGACACCCCGUCUCAGAGUCGGACUCCUCUACUAUCAGUACUGGUUCUAUAAUUUUUAUUUUAGGAGCACUCAGACACCGCGAAAACACGCACUGGCUCAUAGGUUUCUCUAAGUCGGCCCCCUCUGUACUACAUCCAAAAACGUAUAGGCUUAGUCGACACCCCAGGUCAGAUUUGCCUUCCUCUCAUGUACCGGGUGGUUCCUGCAGAGACCUUAGCGCUCGAGCAGUUUUCUCUUCUAGUAUUAUAAUCCUGGAAAUCAUCUCAAAAACAGUUUUAAAAACAAAUUACCAGCCAUUAACUCUCUAAACAAUAUCCAAAAAUAAGAUGAGAAUAAAACUAACUCCGCCAGGUUCAAAAUUCCAAUCUAUCAUUCGAAAACUCAGUUCUAGAAUCUAAUUCCUUCCCUACCAAAGAUAUUGAUCUUGAUUCUAUCAAAAACUCAUUUCUUGCAUUCUCAUCACUUCACGCGCUCAGGAAACGAUGCUGUCACUCAGGGAAAGUGAGGCUAGCUGAUCAGCUGGGCCGCUUCCCUGCUGAACAUUCUGCAGGACCUCCAUUGCCUCAGCAACUUUUGCCUUUAAAGCAUCUGGUGAUUCCAGUAGAUGCAAGACCUCUGUCUGGUCCAUCUCCAGAAGCAUGCCUGUAACUUUGGCUGCAUAAUCAGGCUCCAGCUGAUCAACCAAGGGAUACAGAUUUUCACCCAACAUCUGCAGCAUAGAAACAUGUUAACAACCAUCUAGACAAAACCUAUUUACUGAAGCUUCAUAUAAAAUGUUAUAUCCUACCGUGCGUUGCUGUUCUGGGGAUGCAUUUGCAAGCGCAGAUGCCAGAGCGGUAGUUGGCAUUGGCUGACCAAUGGUACCUUCUCGGGGAAGCGUCCCACCCAUGUCAUAUGGAGAGAGAACGCCUCCUGCUACACCAGGCAUUCGCACAUCAGGAACACUGCGGCCAGGUGGAUACCUAAACAUCCGUCCCCUUGGUAGCAUCUGACAAACAAAUAUUUGACCUUAGUUCUGUUACACGAAAAAAUACAUACAUAACAUAUACAGUAAGAGACCAACCUGCUGCUGCAUCAAUGGCACUGGCUGCUGGGCAUGUUGCACUGGCCCUGCUCCACGCCUUCCACCAGGCCGCUGGCCUUGCUGGACCAGUGGCACAAAGAAAUUUGGCAAAGGAGCUCCACCAGGUCGCAUUCCAGGUACAAGCUGCUGCUGAUAUCCAAAUCCAGCCUAAAAAUGCUUAUCCCAUUUAAGAGUACUGCCACAAGAAGAGAAGAAAAAAAAAAGAGCAAAAGGAAGGGGGGGGGGAGGCGGGGAGGGGAAGAAAUGUAAUGGCAAAUACAGCAGUCAAAGGACAAGCUAUAACCUGUGGAGGGAUUAUAGUAGGAGGAGCUUGCCCAUAAUAUAGAUGUUGUCCAAUAGCAGGACCACCAGGAGGAUAAAGAGGCAUUCUAGGAGCAAUAGUUGGCCCUAUUGCAACAGGCCUCAUUUGCGCAAACUGAGCCUGCAUUAACAUCAAAAUGAUGAAGUCUGUCAAGAAUUACAGUACCACAUUCAGCCUAAGCCACACAAAACACGCUUCUGCAAGGCAUUGUCAUAACGAUUCAGCUAUGACAAAUUGCAGCACAUAAUUACUACUAUUUCUGCUUUAGGUCCCAUGGAACCCUUAAAUUUCAGAAACGAAAAUUUGAGACCAAAACUGAACAACAAAUACAGCAAAAUAGGAAAGCUCAAAAUCCAGUAUACAUGUAAGCUGAGAAUGCUAAAAAUCUAAAUGGAUAUGACAACUAAAUUAUUGAAAUUUUUAAGCACUACUAAGAAAAUUCAACCAUCAACCAUCCACUCAUAUUCUAAUAGACAUUGUGUACUUUUUUCUUAUGACUGACAUAACCAAUGAAAAUAGAGAUUUGACACCCAGAAUAUGCAAAAGGAUGCAAAUAACAGCAUUUGGCAAGGAGAGUCUCAUGCAGGAAAAAUCAAUAUGCCAUAUGAAAGCAUGUUAAAUUAAGUGCCAGCAGGCGAAGAAUUCUUAUAUGUCAUCCACAAAAGCAACCAGAAAACAUAAAUAAAAGCAGCAAAGGAGAAAUCUCCUGAAAGCACGAGACCUGUAAUCUUGCUUUUCGCUCUUCUUUCCUCUGCGCCAGUGCAACAUAAAGUGGCUUGCUGAUCACCAUCUUUCCAUUCAUCUCAGAAAGCUAUUAACAAGAAGGAAACAACCUAGUUAGCUUCUCACCAUUCCCCAUAUAAUAGAAACAUAAUCUAAUUUAUCAUCGUACAGCUCUAGAAGCUUCUUCAGGAGUUGUGAAAGCUACAAAACCUGAUCCUCUGCUAAUACCACUAGGAUCCUGCAUAACCUAAAACAAAUCAAGAAUGUAGUUAGGAGGACAUGAACAAACCAAGGUGAACAUUUGAAGGAUACUCCAACAUGGAGAGAUGGAAAGGAAGUAUAGGACAAGAGGAUCAAUUAAAAAAAAAACUAGAGAGAUUUGAAUAUGCACCUUGCAUGAGGUUAUGGUGCCAAAAUCCGAAAACAGUUCCUUAAGUUUAUCAUCAUCAAUGCUGUCAUCCAGGUUCUUUACAUAUAAAUUCAAACCUUGAUAUUUGUCUACCACUUCCUUUGCCGUUUGCUCAAAUUGACUCUUGAGCUCUUGCUCUCUUUCAGACUUCUUUUGGGCUUUUCCAACAUACCACUCCUUGUCAUCAUAUUUUUUUCCAUUAAGAGCAUCAACAGCUUUGGCAGCAUCAUCUGCAUUCUCAAAGUUGACAAACCCAAAACACUUGGAUUUUCCAUCUGCAUCCCUCAUCACCACUGCACUAGUGAUUGCUCCAUGCUCCCCAAAAAUUUUCUUUAGAUCAUCAUCUGUGGUAGACUCUGAUAGAUUUUUCACAUAGACAUUGUUAAAUUUGGUCCUACUGAAGGCGGACUCUCUCUCCUGCUUACGAAGGAACUGACCAACAUACACUUGCUUAUCGUUAAUAAGCAUUCCAUUCAACUUAUCAAUGGCAGUCUGAGCAGAUUCUUCAUGGUCAAAUUGAACAAAACCAUAACCCUUAGAUUGGCCAUUGCCGUCAGUAGCUAUCUUGCAUGAAAGAAUGUUGCCAAAGGUUGAGAAUGUAUCAUGCAAAGCUUUGUUGUCAAUUGCCUUGUCCAGAUUCUGCACAGACAAGAACAAUUCAAUACUCCACACAAAGCAUGCAUAAGACAAUGGCAUAGUACAGUAACAUUUAACCCUGGUGGUGCUUUAAGAAUAUAAAGCAUAAAAUCUCAAGAGAGAAAGAACUGUACAACAGUGUUUUAUUAAUUCUUCAAGAUCACAGAAUUAGGCUAGAAAAUUUACAAUGCACAGCAUCGUUCAAUCAGAUUUGAUGCUCAUGGGCCAAAGGAGGCUACUGAAGUGUACUAGAACAAAGCAAAUAAUCUAAAAACUGAAAUUUGUUCAGUGCUUUAUCAACAAUAAAAAAUUUUUAAUCCAUGUCAUGCCAAGUAAGACUAUACCCAGAAUAAACAAAGGGACCCGCAUGGUGCAUUAGAUAGGGGCAAGUAAUAACCCUAAUAACUGAAAAGUUAUUUAGCAUCGUUAUUCAUUUAAUACUAAUUGCACAGCAACCCUAGCAACAUGCCUUGGCAGUGCUAUACUCAAGCCUGAUCAAUGAAUAAUGAUGGAUCAAUGAAUAAUGAUGGACAGUUGACAAUUGAUAAUACCUUGAUAAAGAUAUUUGCAGUCCCACUCUUACGGAUGCUAGGGUCUCGAUGAGAGUACAUGAUCCUGAUCGACUUGCCAUUGAUAGGAGUGAAGUUUAACACAUCCAUUGCCCUUGUAGCUGAAACAAAGAAAAACGGUAUUGGUAGUAAAUUUAAUGGAAAUGAACUUCAGGUAGAAAACUUAAAUAAACAGACAAAGAGAUGCUAUCAUAUCGCCAAGAAAUCAGUAAAAAGAAUAUCAAGUAAAUUUACACAGACUAGUGUACAUUACUUCUCUCUAACAUUUGGAUGGUAAUAGACAAGCAGCAGCCUACGUGUGGAGCCGCAAAAGGAAGGUGAUAUAAAAUCAACCUAUAAAAGCAAAGGGAAGGGUAGCAAUAUGUAUUUUUCAUCUAUCCAUAAACUACAAACAAAGCUAGUAGAUAGACUUAUCGCCAGAAUUGGAGCCACACCCGAAUCAAAGUGUCAAACUGAAAAUAAAUUAACAGCAAUAGCUGACCAGCUUACAGCUGACUUGCGUUGUUCAAAAACCUAAAAAUUCUAAACUUUAGGCACAACACGCAAUCUUGUCAAGCAUCCAGAAGUAUGCCUACCCAUCAAUUAUCACACACCAAAGCAUAAGACGUUACAGAAUACCCUCAUGCAAAUCCUACAUUCCAACAAAGACCACAAUGCAAGUCCCUAUAUCAUAGAAAAUCAUUCAUAUACAUAAAUGCCAGGGGAACUUAUACAGGAAAAAGAGAAUAGAAAAGAAGAAACAAGCUUUACCAUCCUGAGGAUUGCUAUAGUUGACGUAGCCAUAGCAGAGUGAGCGGCGAGUGCUGAGGUCCCUACAGACCCUAACCGAAACCACUUGUCCCACCUGGUUGAACAGAUCGUACAAUUGGGAGUCCGUCACGUUGACGUCCAGGUCACCCACGUAAAGCGAGGUUGACAAAAACUGAUUCCCUCCACCAAUGGGAGCCGCUGCUGCCGCCACAGCAGCACCACCAGCCGGAGCCGCCACUCCAUUCGGCCCAGCUGUCACUCCCGCAUUCUGCACCUGAAUCUGCGCCAUUUUUUCCUUUUCUCAAAAAUAAAACUUAUUUAAUUUCCCCCUCCUAAAUUACUAUGACUGUAAUUUUUGGGUAAAUUAAAGAAAAGGCGGAGGGCGUGAUGAAAUUGGGACAAAAAUAUAAAAUCGUCGGAGGAUCCGAACGAACAAUGAAGACGAUGGAUAGAUAGAGAUGAUUUUUACUAUAUAUCAAUAGAUUUUGUAUUAAAAAGAAAAAAAAAAGAAGAAGGAGAUGAAGAAGAAGAAGAAGAAAAAGGGCAAAAAAUUUUGGUUUUUUUUUUUUUGGAUUUUACGGCAGGGGAGGGCAGGGGGAACUGCACCGCAACAGGCAAGAAGACAACAGUGAGGUUUAUAAUGAAGCACCCAAACGGUGGUGACGUAUGAGAAACCCUAACGGGGUUAGGUCUCCACCGUUGGAUUCUAAUAGGGGUCCCACUUGGCGGUUACAUUUUAGACUGAACGGUGAGAUAGAUUCACGAUUCGGUUUCAGUUUGCUUGUGGACGCCGUUAGAUGUUUUUGAUCAACAUUUCAGGUUCAGUUUGAUUGUGACACGUGGGGAAAUGUGCAUGGGAGUUUUAGUAGCGUGGUUGAAUCUAGCCGUGGGCUAAUGUCAUCUCUCGGCUGUAUUCCUCUCACUUUUUACAAUCUACGAAAGAAAACUACGUAGUAUUUUCAUGUCUAUCAUUUCCUUCCUCAAGAAAAACAUUUCUAUCUUUUGGUUUCGAUAUAUAGUAUUAAAAAUCAAUCGUUUUUGCUGGGGGAAAUGACACAACAUGAAAAUGUCUAUAUGUGAGAAGUGAAAGCCCAAUUAAACACAAAUGUUUGGAUAGUAGAUUAUUCAUGAUAAAUUUUUGAAAAAAAAAAUGCUAUCUCACUUUUUUUGAUGUAAUGUAUGUAAGAUAAGAUGGUGAUCGAAAAAUAUGUUUAUGAUACAACUAAAUAAAUUUGUGUAAAUAAUUCACUAUUCAAUUUCCCACUCUUUUGAUCAUUGAUGAAUAUUUUUGUUACAACCACUCUAUGACAAAUUAUUUUGUCAAUACGGGGACUAAACCACCAUCGGACUAGACGGCUGCACUACGCACCGUGCACCCGUCUGAAUUUUUUGAGGAGAGUCACUUUUUAAUGUGGCGAAUUUGCCUUCCACCCCACUAAGCUUUAAUGCAUUGGUGGUCGCGCACUAACCCAAAGGCCGGUGGUUUUUUAAAUUUCUAGCUUGAUCAUUUUUUUUUUUGAAAUCAAAAGAAUUGAAACUUUUGAAAAGGAUAAGUUAUACAAACUUUAUUUGAUUAAUAUGUAACUUAAGAACGAGUACAAACUAAGACAUAAUAGCUGUCACUAAUUGUUUAAAAAAGGAAAAAGUGAAAUGAAUGGGUUUGUGGCAUAUUCCUCAAAAUGAUGUAAGUUAAAGAGUUUCAAGCUAUUGAGAUGAAAAAAAAGGAGAAAAGAGAUCACAAUUCCCACUUGUGAGUUGUGAUAGAAUAUUGUCGAGGUGAUGAGUAGGUACUCUUGUGAUUGAGACGAUGAUUUCUUUGUUUUCUUUUUUUCUCCCACUUUUUUUUUUUAUUAUUUAUAACCAGGUCUGAACUUUGAUAUACAGGUGUAGUGGUAUGAUGGAUGGAUGAAGAAAAGCCCUAAUAUUCCGAAGUCGCUUAGUAUGAUAAAUUAAUAAUUGGUCUCUGCGUUAGUUUGGCCAGAGAUCAUUAAUUAACUGACGAUUAAUUUUGAUGGUUUGGAAUUGUGUGUCUUAAGAAGUAUUGAGACAGGGAAAUCCCGUAGACAAUCAACUAAUCAUGCAUGCUUUAAACGACCUUCAUGAACACAAACUAAUUGCAGCUUGACAUAUACGUCUCUGAGCUCAUUUCCAUGGACUUAAGUGCAAUUUCAAUUUUGACCUUUUUAUUUUUCCUUUUAGCGUAUGAUUUAAUAUAUGAGAGAUAAAAAAAAUGAUUAAAAAAUAUGUUCACGAAAAAUAUAAUAAUUUUUUUUUAGAAAAUUGCAAUCCAAAAAUAGCGGUUUUCCACCAAAAAGCAUGAAGAAUUCUCUAGGCAGGGUGUGUUUUGUUGAUUAAUCAAGUGUUAAUCUACUAGUAAUCAUUUGAAGAAGAAUCGUAAAAUGAAUCAUUUUCUAGAGUUUUUUGUAAAAAAAUCGUAUUAUAGUGAUUUAAUAUAUGUGAAAUAAAAAGUUAAUUGAUAAAUGUAUUCAUGAAAAAACGUAAAAAAAUUUUGGUGGAAAAAUAGCUUUUCCGAACAACAAGGACAUUGUAUAGCCUCUAACGAACUGAGCACAGGAAGAAAACCAUAAAGAAACUAUUCUUAAUUUUUUUCUUCAGGUAUACUAACACUUACCAAAGGAGAUGUACAAUUAUUAGGGAUAAUAUCAGAAACCUCCCUUGAGGUUUCUCCUAAUAUCACUUGAUACCCCUGAGAUUUUUUGAAAUAUCAUUUACCUCUCCUAAUAAUUGCAAAAAGAUUAUAUUAACCCUCAUUUGACACAUAAUUCACAUAUCAAAUAAAUGGAACUCACAAAUUUUUUAAAAAAUCACUUUUUUCUCUUUCUCUUUUCUCCAUCAUUCUUUUUUACUCAUUUUUUGCAUGACUAUGCAAUAUUUUAUUUAUAAAUUAUAAUAAAUUAAAUUUUUUAUCUUAUAUUUUUUGUAAUUGUGAUAAAGUGGAGUAUGAUUUAUUUGCUUAUUUUGAGUUGAUUUUUAUAAUGAUUGGUACAAUUUAAUGGUUUAAGCAAAGGUUCAAAAGAUGUUGAAAAAGAAAAAUAAAAGUUCAUAAGAAAUCGGCUUUGAACAUAUAGAGUUAAAUUGGUGCAAGUGUAUUUCUCUUCAAAUAUCUUUUGUUUUACAAAUUUAUAUUUUUAUGGGGUAUAACAUUAUGAUGUAGUAUUAUAAGAGAUUGUUUUUUAGAUGAUGAUUUUCUUGAAAUUAACAAAGUGGAUCAGGAAUAUUUUUAUUUAACAAAUGAAAGAGUAGUUUAGGGUUUAUAAAAAUUUUGUAACAUAAAUAAUAAAAGUAAGGGAGGUAAGUGAUAUUUUUAAAACCUUAGUGUUGCCAAGUGAUAAUAAGGAAAAUCUCAAGGGAGGUUUCUGAUAUUAUCCCAAAUUAUUAAACUAUGUGGCCGUUUAAACUUUACUCAAUCAAAACGAAUUUGAUUUGAUUAUGUUUAAAGCCUAAUAUAUACAUUUAGAAAGAAAAGUUGCACCAAAGCUUUACAUGCAACGUUAUUAAAGCAGAUCUCAUCAUCAUCUUCAGAUGACAAUCGGACUAGCAGCUGGCGCCGAUCCGUCCAAUAAAUGAUUAGUUAUACUUUAGGUCAAAUUUGAAAGGUAAUGUAAUUUCAUAGGCCAAUCAUUAAGGAUUAGAGCUAAGAAUAUGAAUGAUUACAUGCACUAAACCUUGUGUGUCUCAGGUGGAAUUAGUCAAUAAUCAUACGCGGCGUUGCAGAACCACACCUGGGCCGAAUUAAUCCCAUCCUUCGUUAACUUCUUAUCGAAAUCGAUAAAUAACCCUCACACACCUACCUGAUUUAAACAAACGCAGGAGUUAAUCGAAAAAUCAUCCCUCAUUAACCAAUCGACCAGAAAUUAUGCUAAACUAACAAAGAAGCAUCAAGCAAAAUACAAAAAGUUAAUAAAAGGUGCGGUCUUGAUCAGUAGGGUAAAGCUACAAAUACGACCAUGCUGUGGACAUCAGCUUUACAUGAAACGUCAAAUAUUGAAGAAGAAAGAAAUGGACGUGUAAUUCCCUCCACCCAAGAUCACUGUAUACAAACCAGACUUCUCUAGUCUAGUAAUUUAAAUUCUAGGAUCCCUUUCCAAACUCCUUAAUUUCCCACCAACAACAUGUCAUAUCUAUAACUGAUCUUCGACCCCACAAACCACUACUAGAAAUAUACACAAAUGUGCAAGGCCCUGAAUGAAUUUGUUGCUUAGCAAAAGUCGCACAAAAAAAAAAAAAAAAAACAAUUCUAGCUAGUUGAACUUGAGUACUGUAUAUAUUGGCAUUCCAAUUUAGAUUUCAUUGAUUGAUACUGUUUCAUGAAAGGCAAGAGACAAACCAUCUUUAUCAGUUUUGAAGUCUAAAAUAGUAGUACUAUGUGGGAAGUGGGAGUAGGAUAUGAACGGAAGAUGGAGGUUCGUGGACUUCAGUGUCCUACUGUCACGGUUUCGUAACUUUUAACCUAAAAGCUAAGGAAAACAAAAUCGCUAUAGUCAAAAGGGCCGAUCAGCCGCGACAGAAUAUUGGAAAAAAAGAGUCGUGGUAGUAGCAACAUUUUCCAACGAGAGACAGAAACACUUUGGUUUCAGGUUAGGAACAGAAUAAGGAGGAUCAGGAUCAUGAUCAGGGUACAAAGAUACAAUACUUGUCUUUCUUCUUUCCCGAAACAAAGAAAGAAAAAAAGCAAGAAAAGUACUGCAUGAAAUUAAGCAAAUUACAACUGAAACCGAGAUGAAAGAUUCUUGAAUUUUGCCUUGAAGUUUUCAUCUGUUCUCUGGGUGCAAUGGGAAGAGUUCUAGGGUCCUAUCUCCCUC